GGGUUCUCCAGUCAUGGACGUACGGAGCAACUAUGCCAACGAUGAAGAGAUAAGAAACCUGAAAAGAAAAGUGGAAGAACUCGAUGACAAAGACGCUGUCAUAAAGGAGCAGAUGGAGAUAGAGUCUGCUGCUUCCUCACUUCGGAAGAAGCCGAGGAUAUUGGUUGAUAGAUGGCUAAAAGAGACAGAAAGAGCAAGAAAUAAUUUCCAAAUAAUUGGCCAAGCCAAUGCGGAAACUUUGCCACCAAAGGAACAGGUGGAGAAAUUGACGAGAGAAGUGGAAGAACUCAUAGGAAAAACGCUUCCACAACCACUGCUCAUAGAAGAGAGAGAUGCCAAAGGAGUCAAACUUUUGGAACGAAAGUUAACAGGUGAAGGGAUUCAUAGGAACAUUGAGUUGAUUUGGGACCGUCUGAAGGAGAAUCAUGCAUGCAAAUUGGGUAUUUAUGGAAUGGGUGGUGUUGGGAAGACAACUAUUAUGAUGCACAUACAUAAUAGACUUCUCGAAGAUGCAACCUUCGAUGGUGUGGUUUUUAUCACUGUGUCUCAAGAUUUCAGCAUUAAGAAGUUGCAGAGUGAUAUUUGGAAGGCAUUAAAAUGUGGCGUUAUGGAGGAUGAGGAUGAGAAGAAACAAGCAGCGAUAUUGUCGGAGCAUUUAGAAAGAAAGAAGAAUUGUGUAUUGAUUCUUGAUGAUGUGUGGGAACGUCUUGAUCUUGAAGAGGUGGGAAUCCCUGUUAGAGCUGAUGGAUGUAAGUUGAUCUUAACCAGUCGAUCCUAUUAUGUGUGCUGCCAGAUGCAAUGUCAAGAGAAGAUAAAAAUUAAACCUCUAUCUCAAAUAGAAGCCGAGAGUCUAUUUUUGGAGGAGCUUGGAUCCGAAGUUCCACUUAAUUCGGAAACUGAAGCAAUUGUGAAGUCCAUUGUUGAAGAAUGUGCUGGAUUGCCAAUUGGAGUCAUCACGAUGGCAAGAAGCAUGCGAGGAGUGACUGAUGUGUUUGAAUGGAGGGAUUCCUUGGUUAAAUUGGAAGAAUCAAGUAAGGGGCAAACAGAUAUGGAGAAGAAGGUCUUAAUGAAUCUAAAAUUUAGUUAUGAUCGCCUUGGUAAUCCUGAUGUGCAACAAUGCUUCUUAUCUUGUGCACUUUAUCCAGAAGAUGAAUUGAUUGAUAAGUUCGAGUUGGUAGAAUUCUUUAUUGACCAAGGAUUGAUUGGUGGAUUGAAUGCGUGGACAGAACAAUAUGAUAGAGGCCUCACCAUAUUGAACAAACUACGAAAUGUUUGCCUAUUGGAAGAUCAUGGGAGCGAGACGAAGAUGCACGAUUUGAUUAGAGACAUGGCAUUGCACAUCAUGAGUGCAACUUCCAUUGUAAAGGCAAGAAAGUGGUUGGAAAGUAUUCCAUCUGAGGAAUAUUGGACAGAUGCUUUGGAGAAAGUUUCUCUGAUGGGAAGCAAAAUAAGUGAAAUGUCACCAAAUUGUCCUAAACUAUCAACUUUACUACUGAAUGGAAGCUUGUUAGAGGAUGCGGUCCUCCCUGGUUCUUUCUUCAAACAGUUAUGUGGGCUAAAGGUCCUAAACCUGAGUGACUGUGAACUAACGGAACUUCCAAAUUCCAUCUCAGAUUUGGUAAACUUGAGGGCACUAUUGCUUAGAAGGUGUCGGGAAUUGUGCCAUAUUCCUUAUUUAGGCAAGCUCACAUCUUUAAGGAAGCUGGACGUUAGUGACUGUUUUGAGCUUGAAGAAGUGCCCGAGGGUCUGGAAAUGUUGGUGAACUUGAGAUACCUUGACCUAUGUUUUUCAUUGACCGUUGAAUUACCUAAAAUAAUACUGGGGGGUUUGCUAAACUUGCAGCAUCUUAAAGUUUAUUUUCUAGAUGGACAAGACAUGACAAAAUUGAGGGCACUGGAGACACUCAAAUGCUUUUUUGAAGAUGCGAAUGAUUUCAAUAAGUGUGUGAGGGUUAUUGAACAGAGUAACCUUCUCUGCUAUUAUUAUCUUUGUUAUUAUAUCGACAAAAAAUAUCAUGAUGAGGAAGAAUGUGAUAUUACUCAGGACAGGGAAGUCAAAAUUUGGGGGUGGGAUCAUGCUAUUGUGAGUGUGGGAGGGGAAUGCACCGGCAUUUUUAUUUUGAUUCCCCAAGACGUGCAGAAAAUGACGAUUUGUUGGAACGGUAUAACAAAUUUGUCUAGCAUAGGUCCGCUUGAAUACCUUGAGGAGCUAGAUAUAGAAGACUUAAACAACUUAGGGGUGCUCUGUGGAGGAGAAGACAAAGAAGUAAUCGACAUCUUUGCCCCAGCCCUUGCGCCUCUCCUCUUCUCGAGCCUUAGGGUUUUGAAAAUAUGGAGUUGUCCGGAACUGAAGUAUGUCUUUGGGCAUGGGUCUAAAUCCAACCUUCCACAUCUACGAGAGAUUGAAAUAGGGGGAUGUGAGGAGACGGUGGGGAUAAUAGCAGCAGUUACAUCCCCACCACCACAUCCGCUCCCAUUUUUCCCUAGUCUGGAACAGAUUAGCAUUACAGGCUGUUACGAGAUGAAGAGAGCGGUGGAAUCCGAGUGGAUGCCCCACUUCCCUAAUCUAAGAAGAAUCAAAGUAUCCGGAUGUGAGAUGGAGGAGAUAAUCGGAGGUCCUCCCCCAUACUCGCCGGAUGAACAGAUUUCUCUCGAAUCUCUUGAGGUAAGCUAUUGCGAUAAAAUGAGAAAGCUGCUUACGUAUGAGUGGCUGUUCCAUCUUCGAAAUCUUCAAAGUAUCUCUGUCACUUACUGCAAAGAAAUGGUGGAGUUGAUAAGCGGAGCGGGACAAGGCCAAGAAGGAAGCAUAACGACUUCUGUAAACAACACUCCUUCCUCCUUCCAGCCUUCUUCAAUUUCUCUCCCAAAGCUAGAGUGUUUGGAGCUACGCUAUCUACACCAGCUGAAGAGCAUAUGCGAAGUCCCAAUAAGCUGCGAUUUCAUGAAAAGAUUGGACGUGUGCAGAUGCCCAGAACUGAAGAGGAUUCCUUUGCAACUGCGAUUGUGUGAAAUUGAGGAGCUUCCGUAUAUUUUGGUGGAAGAUGAGGAAAAGUGGAAGACGUUGGUGUGGGAUCAUCCCAAUGCUCAGGCUAUUCUUCGACCUUAUCUCCGAAAAGGGCCACGCUGGCCUCCAAAUGCUAUAGGUUAAUGAGUUUAAUUGAUAUACGAUUGCUUCACUUCUUAAAAGUCCUUUCAAAGAUAUAGCUUUUCUGUCUAUAUAGUCAUGCAGCUCUAAUAGUGGCCUUCUGUAGUACUGAACACCAAGUGAAAGCAUCUCCUGCGACUCCACUCUUGAAGAAAGAACCCUGCUGCUCGACCAUGCUUUCCUGCAAACUUGACUCAGGUUGCCAUAUGAAUUGACUUUUUUUGUGUGGCCCUGCUUUGUCUAUUUUGAAUGCGAUCGCAUGUUUCAUUGACUACUGGAAAUGAGUCUAUCUGGUCGAUAUUUCAGGUUAGUCAAAAAGCAAUGGAUCUGAAGAUUUGGGAAGCCAAGGGAAUAACAAAGUCUGUUUCCUAUCUUGUCUUAUAACUGAAAGGACAAUUUAUUAUCAUGGAUUGAAUUUCUUGGGAUAUUAGCCUUCUAAGAAAAGAGAGAAUUUUGUGCAGCACUACCUUUAAUCUGUUUUUGUUUAAAAAGGAUUUCAAAUAUGAUAUUGCUUUAACUUGUCGAUCGAAAAUAUUGUGUCAAAUACGCUGCUUUGCUCUGUUGGAUCAGAGCAACAUGACCCCAAUUAAACUUGUUUCGACGUUAAACUAUCGGGUAUAGAAUACUUGAUCUGCUUAGUAGUUGUAUCAUAUCUGGAAACGUAGGCCGGGAAGUUUUCNNNNNNNNNNNNNNNNNNNNNNNNNNNNNNNNNNNNNNNNNNNNNNNNNNNNNNNNNNNNNNNNNNNNNNNNNNNNNNNNNNNNNNNNNNNNNNNNNNNNUACUUUGAAUUAGAAAUGUAAAAAGACGAAGAAGAAAGAAUUGCACAGCUAUCACCCUCUUUAAAUGCCUCGAAGUUGUGGAUAGAUGGAGAACCCUACAGCUUCAGCUCAAGUAACCAAAAAUCAGAGCAGUAACCACUAGCAAGUCAAUGGAAAAAAGGCCAGCUUAUAGGAUGUGGCACUUUUGAAAGUGUUUACAUUGCAAGCAACCAGUAAGUUAGCUCUGGGAAUCUUAGACAUGUUCCAUUUUUUUAGAUAUCCAGUCAGCUAAACUUUGACAUAUUAAGUGACAGAAAAACCAGAUCUCUAUGUGCAGAGAAGGAGUUUGAGCUAUUGCGUAAUGAUCCAAAUUUAGCUGAGUGCAUCGAGCAGUUAAAGCAGGUAAUGUUUUUGUUAUGCUCUGGGAUCCAAUCUAUCCUCUCAUCCGAUCUAAAUAUGCUGGGAGGAAACUUUCUUUCAUCAUUUCCAAGUAAUUGAUUGCUUUGUUACUACAGGAAAUUCAGGUACUUAGCCAGCAUAGACAUCCGAACAUUCUGCAGUAUUAUGUAAGGGAAAUUGUGAGUCACAUUUCCACAGCAUCUAUGCGUCCCAACUCAAUGGGCGUUCAUUAUUUGACUAACCAAAAUUUCAACAUAUUCAUACAUACUCAGGUUGAGGAUUGGCGUUACAUAUAUCUAGAAUAUGCACAUCACGAUUCAAUAGACAAGUAUAUCCAGGAGCGUCUUGGGACCCUAACAGAAUCGGUUGUCAGCACUUUACCCGCUAUAUUGUGGCUGGAUUGGCUUCCCUGCAUGUUUUUUUUGGUAAAGAGGCUUCCCUGCAUGUUAACAACUCCAUACAUGGGUAAUUUUAAACCAUUGAUCAAGCAUCAUGAGAUGACUUGCAUAUUGGAUUAGGAUGAUUGGACCUUCUUCUUUGUGCCCCCAGACCUGUUAAAACUAUUUGGCUUGUGCAGGGAUUUAAAGGGAGCUAAUUUAUUUGUGGAUGCAUCUGGGAUAUUCAAACUUGCUGACUUUGGGAUUGCUAAACAUGUGAGUUUUUACCUCUUCACCGCAAGACUACUCAGUGCAUGUAGAAAUUCCUUGCUGAUCUGUGGUACAUUCGAAUGUGAAGUCAGGGACCCAGGGUGACUGCAUACUUCUCGUUAUUGGUUUGUGGCAUUUCAUAUGUGCAUAAAUCUAUCAUAGAUGGAUGAAAUGUUAUUAAGUAAUUUUCUUCACUUUUUUUCCCAUUGUUUCAGGUAAAGUUACCAUGUUGCAUGAACGGGAAAAGAUUUCUUGCUGUAAAUAGAUGCCGAAACCUAAUGAGAGUUCCCUUUCUACUGGUUUCUAAAAAGUUCCUAAGAGCGGUAGUGAAUAGAACGCAAUACCUUUGGCAAAAGGUUGUGGUGUUGUUUUUGCUGCUCCUCUGCAUUCCAAAAUAAGGAUAGAACUUAGUCAGAGUAAGUAAGGGCCUCCUUCCUAACAUGGGGUAAAUAAAAGUUUAUUAAUCCAUAGAAUGGAAUUCUGGACAGUAGCCAAGGUGUUGUUGCUCUCUUUUUGAGUUCUCAAGCAUUUGCUGAGGCCAUGUUGUUGAUUGCUUCAUGGUCCUUUUUCUCAGUAAUGAGCUAACAUGAGUUGAAAGUGGUUGAUUCAGUUAUCAAUAUGAUGUAUCUAUGUCUAUAAAGAUGUUGCUAUUUUAUCCGGUGUUCCAUGAACACACCAAGUAGUAUUCAGCUUUACUAAUGCCGUACCAUUUCUUAGCUAACCGGACAAGCAGCUUGCCGCUCUUUGAAGGGAAGUCUAAACUAGAUGGCUCUAGAGGUACUCUGCUUUUGUUAACGUUAAUGCGGCAUACUCAGAGGUCCUCCCCCAUACUCGCCGGAUGAACAGAUUUCUCUCGAAUCUCUUGAGGUAAGCCUUUGCGAUAACAUGAGAAAGCUGCUUACGUAUGAGUGGCUGCUCCAUCUUCGAAAUCUUCAAAGUAUCGAGGUCACUGAGUGCAAAGGAAUGGUGGAGUUGAUAAGCGGAGCGGGACAAGGCCAAGAAGGAAGCAUAACGANNNNNNNNNNNNNNNNNNNNNNNNNNNNNNNNNNNNNNNNNNNNNNNNNNNNNNNNNNNNNNNNNNNNNNNNNNNNNNNNNNNNNNNNNNNNNNNNNNNNNNNNNNNNNNNNNNNNNNNNNNNNNNNNNNNNNNNNNNNNNNNNNNNNNNNNNNNNNNNNNNNNNNNNNNNNNNNNNNNNNNNNNNNNNNNNNNNNNNNNNNGGAGCUUCCGUAUAAAACCUGUUCAUUCCCAUUUCCAGCAGCAGGCGAGUGCCCUUGUUUCUCUAGGAAUUGGGUUUCUGCCUUCAACGAGAGGAAGAGUCUUUGCUCGAUCCCUGGAUGCUGACUGGUGCUUCAGAUUCUCAAGAACAGCUUCUUAGCUCUACUUCUAUUUGUGCAUCUUUGCUACUUGCAUGCAUCUGAAUCUUCUUUUUCUGUCCUAACCGGUAUGUUGCUUCGUCCUCAUCUUUGCCAUUUUCCAUUUGUAAGAAUCAAAUAGAGACUCCAACUGAACAUCCUUAUUUGCCUGGAUCAAAUAUGUGCCCACUUAACAAGUAGAUCUGAUGGAUUCUAUGCGAAAUGAAGGGUUAAAUGACCUGAAUGUAGGUGGGUGGACUUAACUGUGAGAUGCAAUAAACUUCUCGAAGAGAGACCAAGAAAUAGAGAGAGAAGGGGCGAGAAGAGAAAGAGAGGAAGAGCGACAACGGUGGAUUGCAGCCCGUCGAAAGGGUCGUGCUACGCCACAAAUCUCCAUUUUCGAACACUAGACAAGGUUGUUCUAGCUCUAUUCCUCACGAACUUGGGAUUUUUGUUUGUAAAGUUAAUAUCCGGAUCUAUUUUGUAUUUUGCUUUGCUGGCAACGAUUCGGUCAAAAUCCAACGAUAUUUCGAUUCCCCACAUCUCCUUGUAAUUCUAGAAUUAAUUAUUUUAUAGAGAAUGUAGUCCGCAAUUCCCAAGUUGUCUUUGAGUUGAUCCGGUGCUUCUUGUGUCAAAAACAGGAGAUUAUUCUUGGGUCGUUGAAUAUAAUUUGCAGUUUGGCUCUCCUGCUUUAAUACUUGUGAUGCUGUUAUUUGCUUGNNNNNNNNNNNNNNNNNNNNNNNNNNNNNNNNNNNNNNNNNNNNNNNNNNNNNNNNNNNNNNNNNNNNNNNNNNNNNNNNNNNNNNNNNNNNNNNNNNNNAUGCUAUGCGCGCUGAGAAAUAUUCAAAUGAUCUCUACGUUAUAUGAUCAAGUGCACUUUCUUUGCCCGCAGGUUGAUAAUCAAGACGGCAAGAUGCCGCGACUUGAAGAUAUAGCCUGGAAAUUCGUGAUUAGACAGGGCAAGAAAUGGCGUUGUCCUUACUGCAAAAUUGAAUACUCUGGAUCAGUCACAAGAGUGAAAAGUCACUUUCUUAAACAACCAAAAGAAGGGAUUGUCUCUUGCACAAAAGUGCCGGAGCACAUAAGCACGCUAAUGGAAUUGUUACAGAGUCAGGUGGCUUUAGCACUUGUGGUAGCUAUAUUAUGUGCUUGAGAAUAAUGCUAUGCGUGCUAAGAAGAUUUAUAAAAAAUGGGGAUAAUAUAUGAUAGGGGUGCGCUCUAUUUGCUUGCAGGUUGAUAACAAAGAUGAUAUAGCCUGGAAAUUCGUCGAUAGACUGGGGGAAAACAAAUGGCGUUGUCAUCACUGCAGGGAAGAAUUCUUUGGAGACCUUACAGGAGUGAGAGGUCACUUGCUUGAAGCCCCAUAUAAGGGGAUUUCCAUUUGCACAGAAGUGCCAGACCACGUAAGAACGCUAAUGCGGUCUUUACUCGAUGAGGUGGCUGAAGGAGGGAGCAGAGACUUGGCUGAAGAACAGAGCAGAGAUGCGGAGCCACAGUCGCGUGACGUGCUGUCUCCAGCUUUUCCUCCGUCAUCACAAAGCUCGGAGAGGGCGACUGACAUGGAAAACUCCAACUAUGACCUAGAGUGUCGUUUUCAUGAGACUUCAGCAAUGCCGUCACUGGCACAAAAUAUCCUUGGUAUGUUCAUGUGUUUCUAUACAUGCAUCUAGGCAUGGAGAAAAAACAUCCAUUAUAUUUUUCAAUGCAAACACGUCGGGUUUUUUAACCGAAGUGGAGACUUUUAAACAUCUCCAAUAAAAACGAUCUUUCUACGGAACUUUACAAAUGUGAAGUAAGUCAAUUACCUAUUCCUUAAUAACAGUGCAUUGUCCACUGGACUCACUGGAUCUAAUAAACUAACCAUAGAAGGCAUUUUCUCGUGUUCCAAUCAACCAUAUCCUAAUUUUGAUGAACAACACACAGGUGAAAGCAUGUCAUGUUUGCCAAUGACUUUAGCGGGAGUGGAAUCGUUUCUUUUUGAUUUGCCAGAACGGUCACAAUGUUCCAUUCAAUCUCAAAUGCAAUUGAAUGAUCAGCAGACUCCAGCAGGGACAUUAGCAUCCCAUUAUGAUCAAUUACCUGCUGCAGGUAAGUCAAAUUGCUUGCGGGAUAGUAAUCAGCACUCUCAAUUGCAAAUUCCAGUGGACAUAGAUCCCUCAAUUGCAUCACAGCAUACGAUCGACUCUCACGUUAUUUGGGUAACAAUCCUUGGUUUGCCAAUUCCAGAGGUGGCAGCAGAUACAAUAGGCCCAUCAUCAUCAUCACAAGAUGUGUCUUGAUUAAUCUAAAUAGAUACUAUCAUUUCGUUAGAUCCGUAAAUAUCCUCAAAUUAUUUUAUUGAAAUUUAACAUAUGUAUUUUUGUAAAAUAGAUAUGAACAGGGGUUCUCCAAUCAUGAACGUACGGAGGACACCACAACCUCGCAGAUGGAUGGAACAGGUGGUGCAGGAGGACAGGGCGGUCGACAUCGCAAACCUCCCAUCGGAUGGUGCAACAAAUCACUCUAUCGCAUCUCCCCUGCCAAAUUCAUUGCUUGAUGAUGGGCCAAAUGAACUGUUGCCCAUUUUACCUGGGUAUCUAACAUUAAAUCCACAACGGUAUCAAUGUGCGUCAUUGCCAGCACAAAACCACCAGCUCCUUGAUAAUACUUUUCAGAAUGAGUCACGGGGGUCCAUUUUGCCUGGUCUCAUUGCAUCAGAUGCUCCACUCACUAACGUGGCCACAACAAACACUGCCCGGCAUUUUAAUCAACCAGAUCAGACCUUUCACAGGCAGUGUGAAGGUGGCACUGGCUUAUCUCCUCUACCGCUUUCCAUGGACAUAGAGCCACCUCUUCCAUCACGACCUUUCAAUGGACCUCCUAUUAUUGAGCCAUUUAAUUCCCCUCCGCAGAUUCCAGAGGACAUCUUAAACACAACUGGCCCAUCAACACCGGAAGGUAUAAUACCAUCGAUCUAUUAAAUGGGUCUCGAUAACGCUUAUUAACAAAAUCCAUAUUAUAUUUAUCAUUCAUGUGGUCUCUUGUAAACCCCAUGUUGCUUCUAUGGUGAGUAAGAAUGUUUCAAUUGGAGUCUAAUGCAUGAAGUUGUGGCUUAUAAAUUAGUGAUGCCAGAAGGUGCACCAGCAGGGACAUCAUCAUUCCAGUAUGAUCAAUUGGUGUAGGUAAUUCAAAUCUGGAUUGCAAUCAGCCACGUAUAUCUAGUGUAACAAGUGUAGCCAACACUGUCCCGCAUUCUAACCUAUCAUUCGAAGCUGCAAUGAAGAAUGUGGAACUAAAACCAGUUCGUUUCCCCUGCGAGAUUCGAGGGGCAUAUGUCCCAUCACUGCAUUACGGCCUAUUAGGUGCCCUCACAUCGAGGCAACACUUGUCAAUUUGCAAGUUCUGGAGAAUGGAGCAAAUAUGGCUGGCCCGUAACCAUCACAAGUGACUGUCUUGAUUUACCUAAAUAGAUAGUCAUUCCAAAUUAAUCAUAGGUAUUCCAACUCGAGUGAGCGUUGAUGUUUUCAUUGCAGAAGUGAUCCUUCUUUGUAUUAUUAACUCUCUUUUAGUAUGACUCAAAUUCGUCUAUUUCCAUAUCUAAUCUUUUCUCAAUUACCGUAGUAUCAUUGCAUGUUAUGUUUGUCCAACAUCACUUACUUUACGGCAUGGUUUUUUCAUCAAAAUAUUUUACUUAUCUGCAUGUUGAUUUUCCUUGUGGAUGUCUUUUGUGACCAAGUUCUAUGUUGUUUUACCUGUGUGCAUGGACACUCCAAUAUCUUAGUGCAACCAGCUCUGGUGCCCCCUCAACAUCAAAGUGUUCCACAUCAAGCUCCAAAUAAUACUCCUUCAGCUCCUCAGAUUCAACGUCGUGGAACAGGUCUGAUAGUCCCAUCGUCAUUGCCAGGUAUAUAGUUAUUUACCUAAAUUAAUCCUUAUGCAUCGAUCACCAUGUUAUGUUAUUAAGGGAAGCAAGAAUGCUAUAAUGAGACCGAUGGAUUUAAUUGCAGAAUUAGAUAUGAGCAAGGGUGUGCCACUAACGAGUCACACAAACAUAAACAACAACUUUGAAAAGAGUAGAGCUUUGAAAAGAAAAAUAAAGCAACUCUACAGUAGAGAAGCUGACAUAAGGGAUGAGUUAGAAUUUGCCGGGUCUCUAUCACUAAAGAAGCAGAAAAAGGAAGUUGAGAAUUGGUUGGCGGAUGUGGAGCAGCUCAGAAAAGAUUUUCAGAGUAUUGAAGCAACAAGUGAGGAUUGUUUGCCGUCACACCAGCAGGUGGAUACACUGACGCAACAAGCAGAAGACCUUAUGAAACAAGGCGAAUUCCCAAAAGGACUAUUUGGGGCGAGAAAGACCAAAGUCAAUAAGUUGAUAGAACGAAAGUUGGUGGGAGAGGCAUUUAAGAGAAAUACAACAAAGAUUUUGGAGUACUUAGUAGGGAGUCAAAUAUCCCGACUAGGCAUUUAUGGAAUGGGGGGUAUUGGUAAAACCACUCUUAUGAAGCACAUACAUAAUAGACUUCUCGAAAAAGCAAAUCAUGAUAAUGUGUUGUGGAUCACCGUGUCACAAGAUUUUAACACACAAAAGUUGCAGAACGACAUUUGGGAGGCACUAAAUUUAGGCACACUACAAGAAAAGGAGGUGGGGCAACGAGCAGCAAUGUUGUCCGCUGUUUUAACCGAAAGAGAGAAGUUGAUCAUAAUCCUUGAUGAUGUGUGGGAAGAUUUCAAUCUUGAAGAGGUGGGAAUCCCUGUUAGAGAAGAUGGAAAUAAGUUGGUCUUAACCACUCGAUCCCUUGAAGUAUGCCGCCGGAUGCAAUGUCAAGAAAUAAAAAUCGAACCUCUAUCUCUAGAAGAAGCUGAGGAUUUAUUUUUUGAGGAGCUUGGAUCCAAAGUGGCCCUUAAUUUGGAAACAAUUGUGAAGUCCAUUGUUAAAGAAUGUGCAGGCUUGCCACUUGGAGUCAUCACGAUGGCAGCAAGCAUGCGAGGAGUGACGAAUGUGUCUGAAUGGAGAGAUUGCUUGGAGAAAUUGAAAGAAUCAGAUGCCCCAACGGAGAUGGAAAAGAGAGUCUUAAAGCAACUAGAAGUCAGCUACGAUCGCCUUGAGAAACGUGAAGUUCAACAGUGUUUCUUAUCUUGCGCACUUUAUCCAGAAGAUAGAUUGAUUGAUAAGGUCGAGUUGAUAGAAUUCUUUAUUGACCAAGGACUGAUUUGUGGAUUGAAUAUGAAUACGAGGGAGAAAGAAUAUGAUAGAGGCUUCACCAUAUUGAGCAAACUGGAAAAUGUUUGCCUAUUGGAAGAUUAUGGAGAAAACAUGAAGAUGCACGAUUUGAUUAGAGACAUGGCAUUGCACAUCAUGAGUGCAACUUCCAUUGUAAAAGCAGGAAAGUGGUUGGAAAGUAUUCCAUCUGAGGAAUAUUGGACAGAUGCUUUGGAGAAAGUUUCUCUGAUGGAAAACGAAAUAAGUGAAAUUCCAUUGAACAUGUCACCAAAUUGUCCUAAACUAUCAACUUUACUACUGAAUGGAAGCUUGUUAAAGGAUGCGGUCCUCCCUGGUUCUUUCUUCAAACAGUUAUGUGGGCUAAAGGUUCUAAACCUGAGUGACUGUGAACUAAUAGAACUUCCAAAUUCCAUCUCAAAUUUGGUAAACUUGAGGGCACUAUUGCUUAGAGAGUGUCGGGAAUUGUGCCAUAUUCCUUAUUUAGGGAAGCUCACAUCUUUAAGAAAGUUGAACGUUGGUGGCUGUUCUAAGCUUAAAGAAGUGCCCGAGGGUCUGGAAAUGUUGGUGAACUUGAGAUACCUUGACCUACGUUUUUCAUCGACCGUUGAAUUACCUGAAAGAGUACUAGGGGGUUUGCUAAACUUGCAGCAUCUUAAAGUUUAUUUUCUAGAUGGACAAGACAUGACAAAAUUGAGGGCACUGGAGACACUCAAAUGCUCUUUUGAAGAUGCGAAUGAUUUCAAUAAGUGAACAGAGUAACCCUCGCUGUUAUUAUUAUCUCGGCAUGGCUCAAAAAGAUAUUUCUUAUUAUCGUGAAGCAUGUUAUUCUACUCAUGAGGAAUACCGUGAUAUUACUCAAAUUGAGAAUCGGAAGAGGGAAGUCAAAAUUUGGGGGUGGGAUCAUGCUAUUGUGAGUGUGGGAGGGGAAUGCACCGGCAUUUUUAUUUUGAUUCCCCACACCCGUGCAGAAAAUGACAAUGAUUGGUUGCGACGGUAUAACAAAUUUGUCUAGCAUAGGUCCGCUUAAAUACCUUGAGGAUCUAUGUAUAGGAUACUCAGAAAACUUAGGGAUGCUCUGUGGAGGAGAAGACGAAGAAGUAAUCGACAUCCUUGCCCCAGCCCUUGCGCCUCUCCUCUUCUCGAGCCUUAGGGUUUUAAAAAUAUAUGAUUGUCCAAAACUGAAGUAUCUCUUUGGGCAUGGGUCUAAAUCCAUCCUUCCGCAUCUACGAGAGAUUGAAAUAUAUGGAUGUGAGAAAAUGGUGGGGAUAAUAGCAGCAGUUACAUCCCCACCACCACAUCCGCUCCCAUUUUUCCCUAGUCUGGAACAGAUUAGCAUUAGUCGCUGUAACAAGAUGAAGAGAGCGGUGGAAUCUGAGUGGAUGCCCCACUUCCCUACUCUGAGAGGAAUCACAGCAAUUUAUUGUGAGAAGAUGGAGGAGAUAAUCGGAGGUCCUCCCCCAUACUCGCCGGAUGAACAGAUUUCUCUCGAAUCUCUUGAGGUAAGCCGUUGCUAUAACAUGAGAAAGCUGCUUACGUAUGAGUGGCUGCUCCAUCUUCGAAAUCUUCAAAGUAUCGUGGUCAGUCACUGCAAAGGAAUGGUGGAGUUGAUAAGCGGAGCGGGACAAGGCCAAGAAGGAAGCAUAACGACUUCUGUAAACAACACUCCUUCAUCCUUCCAGCCUUCUUCAAUUUCUCUCCCAAAGCUAGAGUGUUUGAAGCUACGCUAUCUACACCAGCUGAAGAGCAUAUACAAAGCCCCAAUAAGCUGCGAUUCCAUGAAAAGAUUGAAAGUGUACGGAUGCCCAGAACUGAAGAGGAUUCCUUUGCAACUGCCACUGCGUGAAAUUGAGGGAGCUUCCGCAUAUUUAUGAUGGAAGAUGAGGAAAAGUGGAAGACGGCUGAUGUGGGGAUCAUCCCGGAUGCUCAGGCUAUUCUUUCAACCUUAUCUCCAAAAAGGGUCAAAUGCUAUAGGUUAAUGAGUUUAAUUGGAUAUACGAUUGCUUCACUUCUUUAAAAGUCCUUUCAAAGAUAUAGCUUUUCUGUCUAUAUAGUCAUGCAGCUCUAAUAGUGGCCUUCUGUAGUACUGAACACCCAGGUGAAAGCAUCUCCUGCGACUUCACUCUUUGAAGAAGAACCCUGGCUGCUCGACCAUGGCUUUCCUACCAACUUGGACCUCAGGUUGCCAUAUGAACUGACUUUUUUUGUGUUGCCAUGCUUUGUCUAUUUUGAAUGCGAUCGCAUGUUUCAUUGACUACUGGAAAUGAGUCUAUCUGGUCGAUAUUUCAGGUUAGUCAAAAAGCAAUGGAUCUGAAGAUUUGGGAAGCCAAGGGAAUAGCAAAGUCUGUUUCCUAUCUUGUCUUAUAACUGAAAGGACAAUUUAUUAUUAUGGAUUGAUUUUCUUGGGAUAUUAGCCUUCUAAGAAAAGAGAGAAUUUUGUGCAGCACUACCUUUAAUCUGUUUUUGUUUAAAAAGGAUUUCAAAUAUGAUAUUGCUUUAACUUGUCGAUCGAAAAUAUUGUGUCAAAUACGCUGCUUUGCUCUGUUGGAUCAGAGCAACAUGACCCCAAUUAAACUUGUUUCGACGUUAAACUAUCGGGUAUAGAAUACUUGAUCUGCUUAGUAGUUGUAUCAUAUCUGGAAACGUAGGCCGGGAAGUUUUCUUUUCACCCUUUGUCAUACUUUGAAUUAGAAAUGUAAAAAGACGAAGAAGAAAGAAUUACACAGCUAUCACCCCUCUUUAAAUGCCUCGAAGUUGUGGAUAGAUGGAGAACCCUACAGCUUCAGCUCAAGUAACCAAAAAUCAGAGCAGUAACCACUAGCAAGUCAAUGGAAAAAAGGCCAGCUUAUAGGAUGUGGCACUUUUGAAAGUGUUUACAUUGCAAGCAACCAGUAAGUUAGCUCUGGGAAUCUUAGACAUGUUCCAUUUUUUUAGAUAUCCAGUCAGCUAAACUUUGACAUAUUAAGUGACAGAAAAACCAGAUCUCUAUGUGCAGAGAAGGAGUUUGAGCUAUUGCGUAAUGAUCCAAAUUUAGCUGAGUGCAUCGAGCAGUUAAAGCAGGUAAUGUUUUUGUUAUGCUCUGGGAUCCAAUCUAUCCUCUCAUCCGAUCUAAAUAUGCUGGGAGGAAACUUUCUUUCAUCAUUUCCAAGUAAUUGAUUGCUUUGUUACUACAGGAAAUUCAGGUACUUAGCUAGCAUAGACAUCCGAACAUUCUGCAGUAUUAUGUAAGGGAAAUUGUGAGUCACAUUUCCAUAGCAUCUAUGCGUCCCAACUCAAUGGGCGUUCAUUAUUUGACUCACCAAAAUUUCAACAUAUUCAUACAUACUCAGGUUGAGGAUUGGCGUUACAUAUAUCUAGAAUAUGCACAUCACGAUUCAAUAGACGAGUAUAUCCAGGAGCGUCUUGGGACCCUAACAGAAUCGGUUGUCAGCACUUUACCCGCUAUAUUGUGGCUGGAUUGGCUUCCCUGCAUGUUAACAACUCCAUACAUGGGUAAUUCUAAACCAUUGAUCAAGCAUCAUGAGAUGACUUGCAUAUUGGAUUAGGAUGAUUGGACCUUCUUCUUUGUGCCCCCAGACCUGUUAAAACUAUUUGGCUUGUGCAGGGAUUUAAAGGGAGCUAAUUUAUUUGUGGAUGCAUCUGGGAUAUGCAAACUUGCUGACUUUGGGAUUGCUAAACAUGUGAGUUUUUACCUCUUCACUGCAAGACUACUCAGUGCAUGUAGAAAUUCCUUGCUGAUCUGUGGUACAUUCGAAUGUGAAGUCAGGGACCCAGGGUGACUGCAUACUUCUCAUUAUUGGUUUGUGGCAUUUCAUAUGUGCAUAAAUCUAUCAUAGAUGGAUGAAAUGUUAUUAAGUAAUUUUCUUCACUUUUUUUCCCAUUGUUUCAGGUAAAGUUACCAUGUUGCAUGAACGGGAAAAGAUUUCUUGCUGUAAAUAGAUGCCGAAACCUAAUGAGAGUUCCCUUUCUACUGGUUUCUAAAAAGUUCCUAAGAGCGGUAGUGAAUAGAACGCAAUACCUUUGGCAAAAGGUUGUGGUGUUGUUUUUGCUGCUCCUCUGCAUUCCAAAAUAAGGAUAGAACUUAGUCAGAGUAAGUAAGGGCCUCCUUCCUAACAUGAGGUAAAUAAAAGUUUAUGAAUCCAUAGAAUGGAAUUCUGGACAGUAGCCAAGGUGUUGUUGCUCUCUUUUUGAGUUCUCAAGCAUUUGCUGAGGCCAUGUUGUUGAUUGCUUCAUGGUCCUUUUUCUCAGUAAUGAGCUAACAUGAGUUGAAAGUGGUUGAUUCAGUUAUCAAUAUGAUGUAUCUAUGUCUAUAAAGAUGUUGCUAUUUUAUCCGGUGUUCCAUGAACACACCAAGUAGUAUUCAGCUUUACUAAUGCCGUACCAUUUCUUAGCUAACCGGACAAGCAGCUUGCCGCUCUUUGAAGGGAAGUCUAAACUAGAUGGCUCUAGAGGUACUCUGCUUUUGUUAACGUUAAUGCGGCAUACUCAGAGGUCCUCCCCCAUACUCGCCGGAUGAACAGAUUUCUCUCGAAUCUCUUGAGGUAAGCCUUUGCGAUAACAUGAGAAAGCUGCUUACGUAUGAGUGGCUGCUCCAUCUUCGAAAUCUUCAAAGUAUCGAGGUCGCUGAGUGCAAAGGAAUGGUGGAGUUGAUAAGCGGAGCGGGACAAGGCCAAGAAGGAAGCAUAACGACUUCUGUAAACAACACUCCUUCAUCCUUCCAGCCUUCUUCAAUUUCUCUCCCAAAGCUAGAGUGUUUGAAGCUAUGCUAUCUACACCAGCUGAAGAGCAUAUACAAAGCCCCAAUAAGCUGCGAUUUCAUGAAAAGAUUGGACGUGUACGGAUGAUUGACUUAUUUCAAGUGCCAUACGUUGUUGCAAAUGGAUGUUGUACUGUAAAGUUCCAUAUUUACUAAACCAGAAUAAUCACAGGGUCCAUAGAUGUGAUGAAGUACUUGUAUAUCGACGAAAUAAGAUGCAUGUUCCUCUCGCAUGGUUUGACCAGUGUCAUCCUACGAUCUAGGCAAAUUUGACAGUGUUGCUUAAUCUAAACAUUUUGUAUGAAGUACAUUUAUUCAUCAAAAUUGAAUGGUAUUGAUAUGGCUCCAAAUAAGAAACGGAUCAGCAAAACAAAAGUAAUAAAACCCAAGGAAAGACAAAAGUAAUAAAACCCAAGGAAAAAGGAAAAGAAAAAGAAAAUCGAAGUGAUAGUGCAUCAGAAUUCCUGAAUUGGUGGGAGGAACAUUGGCAGGUUUGGCAAACCUGCAACGUCUUAGGACUUGGGAAGUGAAGGGAAAAAUAUCAAAGUUACGGGCAUUGGAGGCUCUUAAUUCUUCCGGACAGACCACAAUGGCUUUUCUCUAUUCACCGGAAAUUGGUGAUGGUGAUGAGGGCCACUCUGAUUGGAGAAAUUUCAUGUAUUUGUUGAGAUCAACGAUGAUGAUGAUCCAAGAUUUGCAACUUUCGAGUGGAGAAAUUUCAUGUAUUUGUUGAGAUCAACGAUGAUGAUGAUCCAAGAUUUGCAAUUUUCGAGAGGAGAAUCAACGUUGAUUGUUGCGAUAAUGCUUGUCAGGGCAGCAGGGAAAAGUUUUUUCCUGGUGGUUUUGCGGCUUUUGCCCCCAAGUGAUGCUGCAAGUUUGCUGGAUUUCCCCCUAACGGUUUUUUGUCAUUUCCCGGAACGUUUUUGGAAUAAUUUUGCAUGUUGUUACAAAGAUCUCAUGCGGUUCGUUUACAGGAUUUUAAUAGGCCUUAUAUUUAUAUAAUUUACCUUCACUUACUCGUUCAAAUAUUUAGGUUGGAUUUUUUCCUAUGUGCAAAUAGCAAUUUUUACGUGAAAUGCAAACUAAACAUGCUUCCUUUUUAUUAUUAUUUUUUCUGCAAUUAAAGUGAUUCCUCUACCCUAAUGCAUACCAGAAAUAUAUUCAAAAGUGUGACAGGAAAAAGAACUCCUUGAAAUUUUGCAAAGUCGGAGGCGCUUUUUAGACCAAGCGAUGUCUCUCGGCUGCAUUGAAAUAUGUCUUCGUUUUCGUUUUCUUUUGUUCUUUUCCUCAAUCUUCAANNNNNNNNNNNNNNNNNNNNNNNNNNNNNNNNNNNNNNNNNNNNNNNNNNNNNNNNNNNNNNNNNNNNNNNNNNNNNNNNNNNNNNNNNNNNNNNNNNNNGCUGUUUUUUUUUUUUUUUUGUGUGUUCUCUGCCCAAACCUUAAUGAAGACUACUAAUUGGUGUUUGGUCUUUCAAAGUGUAGCAUUAUUGAGCAUCAUCAUCAACUCAUCAAGUUCGCUAAACUCAGUCAUCAAUUAACUAACGAUUCUUGUCUAACAGGAACUGCACCAACGUAGCAAGAAAAAGAUAAACAAAAACUCAGGCAAGAACUCAUUCGUUUUCAAGACUCGGUCAUAAAAAUCGAGGAAAAGAAACUAUGAAUAUGUGCCGGAUUUUUCUCUGCUGCCGUGCCCUUUUUAACCUACUUUUGACCCAGAAUUCGACCAUUUACAGCUCUCGGUUCCUUUUGUGUGUUUUCACACUGCUAAUUUCCUUCAUUCACACACGAAGGAAAGUCGUGUUGAAAGUGGCCUCCUUUCGGCCAACCAGGAGGAGGGAACGGAAAGGACUUCACUUCGAAGAGCGGGCACGUCCAAAAUUCUCAUAAGAAUUCCCAUUUAAAUUCGCCUGGAAAUUUAGAGUCGGGUUGUGUAACAGAUUGGUUCACAAUAAUUGCACUCUUAUUAGAAAGGGCAGUACAAUCACAAGAAUGUGAGAUUACAAAUGGAUGUUAUUAUGGGUCAAAUUAUCAGUGUUUUUCUUCGUUAAUUUUUAUGAAGAUGCGAUUGAAACCUUUGAGCUCGUAACAGUAAUUUAACUUAAAAACUAUUGAGUUAUUAUAGUCUUUAAAUCAUUCUUGGGACAUUUUUUUUUUCUUUUGGAUCUGAAGAUCCAAACUACAUAUGAAACGAGUCCCGUGAUUGGGAAAACACGAAUUUAGCAUAUUAUGCUUGCUCCUAAAUAUUUUUAUGUGGAUGCCACAUAACAAGUACCUAUAUAAGUUCAUGCAAAUAGGAUCCAACGAAUUAACAAUCCAAAAUUUGAGAGAAAAUAUGAAGUGAUUUUGUGCAUUUUUGAAACUCUGUUAGUGUACAUUCUUGUAGUUUUUCCUUGUCCAAAUAUACUGAUUUUCAACUUUCACUAAGAUGUUGCAAAUUCAAUUAGAAGCAUAUAAUUAAUAGUCCUAAUUAGCCAAGUCACAAAACCAAUCAUAAGAGAUUCAUUGCGGUUGUCACAAAGUCUUGAAUUGGUGGGAUGGUUAUUCCCAUGGCAAGAGCGGCUAACAUCGCAAACUUCAUCCUCUAGGGAUUAAGUUAAAAUAUUACCUUUGGCACUUAAGGUGUUCUUAUACUCCAUAAUAAAUAUGUUACUUAUUUUAUCAAUUAAUCUACCCUCAAUAAUAUGCUAAUAUUGGUUUAGAUAAUUUGUCGAUUUGGCUAUAACUUGGAAUAAGAGACAAUAACAAUAUAAAUCUAAUAUUGAAAAAAAUUUGUAUGAUUUUUUUUUUCACUUAUUAGUUAUUCUUUUAGCAAUUACCGAAUAACAUCAUUCAAACUGCAUAAUGCCAAAUCUAUUUUUUUUUUCCAAUUACAUUAUGCCAUAAAUGUGCGAAUCAACAUACAUGAUUUCACCUCAAACAAAUGGACUUUUUUUAUGAAUAAAUUUUUUAAAAAAAAAAGAUAGAAAAAUAGCUCAUAUUAGGGCCAUUUACCAGGUAAUGCAAAUUAAAACCAAGUCUUAUUUAUGUCUAUUAAAAAUUUCCAAUGCCAUAUCAUAUCAUUUACACCUAAAAUGCAUAGAAUAUACAUUCGGAGAAGAAGGAAGAUAAGAGAAACUUAAACAAAAGAGCAUUUCUAUCUGUCGUAAGAUAGAAAGUAAACAUCAAAUUUAGAUAAUCUUACUUUAAAUACUUAUGUAGCAAGCACAUUCAUAAAAAUUAGAACAUAAUGUAAGCCUAAACAAUAAUAUAACGAUUGAUUUAUAUAAAGUGUCAAUAUAACAUUAUGCAAAAAAUUUAUACAUGUAAUAUGGGUUCAUAUCAAUAAAUGGAAUUGGAAGUAAAUUUCUGAAUCUGUGCAACCCAUGGGUCUUUGUUUACUACACAUUCUACAAAAAAAUGCAGUCAUAAGUUACAAUUUGAUGGAAUCACCUACCAAUUCUACUCACAUCAUAGGAAAUGUUUUCUAGCAGCUGGAUGGCUUGGAAUAUUUUGGGGCCAGAGAUGGACACAUUUCAUUCAUAUGAGGGUACAGGUCUACUGUAUUGUAUCCUGGCAGCUCCANNNNNNNNNNNNNNNNNNNNNNNNNNNNNNNNNNNNNNNNNNNNNNNNNNNNNNNNNNNNNNNNNNNNNNNNNNNNNNNNNNNNNNNNNNNNNNNNNNNNNNNNNNNNNNNNNNNNNNNNNNNNNNNNNNNNNNNNNNNNNNNNNNNNNNNNNNNNNNNNNNNNNNNNNNNNNNNNNNNNNNNNNNNNNNNNNNNNNNNNNNNNNNNNNNNNNNNNNNNNNNNNNNNNNNNNNNNNNNNNNNNNNNNNNNNNNNNNNNNNNNNNNNUAAAAAAGAUAACCCAACUAGGGUCAAUCAGAUCGCACUUACAGUGAACUCUGUAACAUGAAUGGAGCUAGAAAUUGGAUCAAGAGUCCUGCUGCUUUGUACAUUCAAGAACAAAAGCUACACAAGAGGCGGACUUCCCAUCACUAUAUACCCAAUGGUCUUGCUCUGGAGUGUCAGCAGUUCAGCAAAAGAUGACCCCCUCAUUUCAGUUUCGUGUAUUAGAUUAGGAAGAUCCAAGCCCUGUAUGCAACACAAUCGUAAGGUAGCCAUAAAGUAAAGUAAGUGUAAUUACAACCAUAUAACAUUUGUUAACAGAAUGUCAUCCAAGAGACAUUAGAUUUCAGUUGCACCUCAGUGUGCAAAACAAGAUGCAUAACGUCACACAGACAAUUGCAAAUUGAAUGGGACGGUACCUUUGUUCCUAGUCACUUGUUGAGUGCUUCAUUCCAUAUGUUCGCAGCAUAGGCUGGUUGCACUUGGUUCCAUAGUCAUAACAGAAGCAACCUACAAUAAUACAAUGCUUUCUAUAAAAUGAGUGAACCGCACUCCCAUCACGCGAAUAAAGCACCCCACAUGGUGAGCAUAUUACAUGCAUCGUCAGUCAGGCUGAUAGCAACUCUUAAGAAACAAUGAACAAAGUCUACUAUUUUGCUGUCUUAGUAUCAUAUAGGAGGCCAUAAAAAAUGAAUAAUUGUCAAACUAAGCCAGGUUCUUUUCCAUAACGUUAGCACUCAAUAGAGUCACAUACGAACCUGCUAUUUGGCAAAAUCACUGUUCAUUUUUUAGCCUUUUGUCUUGUUCAGUUGAAUUCAUUCGAAAUCAUGGCAUGAUUGUCUAAUUUCAACUAGAAUGUGUUGUUAGGAUCUAACACACGGCUUAAUAAUAUUUCAAGGUCUAUCAAAGUAAGAGUAAANNNNNNNNNNNNNNNNNNNNNNNNNNNNNNNNNNNNNNNNNNNNNNNNNNNNNNNNNNNNNNNNNNNNNNNNNNNNNNNNNNNNNNNNNNNNNNNNNNNNGCAUCUAAGAAUCUCAAGGCAUCUACAGAUAUACCUUGGAAGUAACACAAGGCCUUAGCGCUAGAAAAUUGUCUAAGGCAACUGAAUGCACCCACAAAAUAUAUAUAAACAUAUAUGAACGUGUACAAUCUCUGUACCACAUGAGCAUCUAAUGGCGGUAGAUAAUUUGCGCCGAUGGUGUCUAUCCAGCUAAAAAGCAUGUUGUGAUAACCAUAUGGUUUCCCAUUCAUAAUCUGUGCAAACUCCCAUGCAGCAGCUCAUUAAAUUUGGCUCACAUAUCAGGAUGCAGUGGAAGCAACGCAAUGUGGGGAUUUGAGUAAUCUUUGUUAAGCUCGAACUCCCACCAUUUUCCCAUGGUAACACAGCAAUGACAUCUUCUCCCUGCAAUGAUAAGAACAAAACAAAACUUGCAUAAUCUCUAUUACUAUGUUAGACUUCUUAGCACCUGACCCCUUUACCAACACAAAGGAACAAAGCAUGUAGCAAAAACCCAAAUGUGACCAUAAAUUUAUUAAUCAAGGUCUGCCUCAAGUAAAGGACGUCAUUUCAUCAAAUUCUAACCAUAAUCAUCAUCAGUAAGUUAUCGUCUCGUGUGUAAGGAUGGUCCUGAAGUUCAGCAGAAAAAGUUCAGACACUGCAUUCCCUAUGUUACAAAUAUGAUGAUGCUCCAAUAGAGCUUCUAGUAGGAGCCUAGAUAGGAUCAGCUGCAGUUCAACAUGAACCUGAAGCAGCAUGUCAUCGUUUACUUACUCAUCCUCUCUUACAAUCAAAAGUUUCUAUGGGAGCACAAAAAGGAAAGACCUAUCUUAUUAGAGAACAUAAGAUGAGCAAGGAGAUUUAAGGACAUAGGGGCAUGACUAAAGCACGCUUAAUAUGCAAAAUGGAACGAUCUCAAUGGGAACCAUAUUUGUGAGAGAAGAAGUCCAUGAUUCGACAAAAGUCACAUUUAUAAAGUAAUCACACAGAAAUACAAUGCCCCAAAAACCUAAGGGUUCAUGAAAUGUUAGAGAAACACAGCAGAAACCCUACUUGUCCUUUUCAAUAUGUAUGAGACCACACUUUGAUAAUCAGAGGACAUUAAAGCAGUAUUGUAUGAGUGUCUUUAAUAAUGAAUGACAGAUAAGCAUAGGGAAUUUUUUUUUUUUUUUUGGGUCGGUAAGCACAGGGAAUUAAAGAGAUGGAGAAAUAAUGACUCAAACAAUUCUGGGGGUGUUUGAAACAUUUGAACGUUUGUCUAUUGGAUAUCCCCAUAUAGGAACAAUGUGGACAAUUAUUGUGGAAGACUGGCAUACUUACAGCCAUGUUAAUAUUGUGUCUAUGCAAUUGGUUUAAAACUUUACUUCACAAUUACAAUUGCAGAGACAGCAGCAGGCAAAAAGAUUGGAUGAAAUGUCGAACAUCAAAAGCAAUCCAUCAAUGUAUGGAAAAAAAAGAACGNNNNNNNNNNNNNNNNNNNNNNNNNNNNNNNNNNNNNNNNNNNNNNNNNNNNNNNNNNNNNNNNNNNNNNNNNNNNNNNNNNNNNNNNNNNNNNNNNNNNNNNNNNNNNNNNNNNNNNNNNNNNNNNNNNNNNNNNNNNNNNNNNNNNNNNNNNNNNNNNNNNNNNNNNNNNNNNNCCAACCCAAAGCUUUCCUUCAGCAUCCCUUAAGCACACAGCUGUGUGACCAGCAUAUGCGCCACUGACCCAUUUCUCUAGAGUCCCAAAACCACCCCACCUUCCACGAAUUUUUGAAAUUGCAAUGAAGUCUCCAGAGUGGAUAUCAUCAAUGCUGAUGUUUGUAACCCAGGGCUGGGGACGUUGCUCAAAUGAAGCUCCCAUAUGCUUCUUGAGAAAACCAAUGUUAGAUUUCUCCCCUCACCCGGUAUUUGAAAACAAGGAAACACAUCCCACAGUGCUUGAAGGGUCCCAAGCAUCCCAGCUUGCAUCAGAAAGAUUGACACUCCUCUACUUUUCACCUGCAAUCAAAAUAAUGGAAAAUCAAAGUUUGACAACUCGCCAAUAUGCACAAGCAAGAGCAGAAGAGAAAAAAGAUAAUUGCAGCUUACAUAUUCAAACUCAGCUUUUCCUUCCCACUCUUUGAACUCAAAUGUGUGCUCACGAGAUAAAAGAUACUAGUCCCAUGUCACGCAGUAUGGGGUUGCAAAGACAUAAAUAUCCAUACACGUCCAGCUAUGGGCUUUGCUCACCUGGAUGAGCAAUCCAAACUCAUGGUUACAAGCCGGAUACCUACAACUAGUUGUUAGUUUCCAUAUUCAGCAGAACUAGAUGCAAAAACAAGGACUAUGAAGCAUCAACACGAGGCAGUACCCACCCAAACUGGAAUAGCCUCCAUAAGAUAAUUUGAUUUUACAUCAAACGAAACAAUUGUACUUGUAUGAGCAACCAAAUCACUAAAUCCUUCUUCAACCACUUAAAACCUAGACACAAAAGACUCAAGUGACCAACCAUGGUACCAAUUCGUGGAGCUUAAUCAAAGUACAAACAAGCAGAUGAAAGGAGAAGGAAGAAAAAAACUUAGCUAGUGACGAAAUCCACUAGAAACAUAUUGAAGUAAGAACUGAAAAAUUCCAUCACUCAGAUUCCAACAUAAAUAGCAGAUGAGAAAAGAGAACAGUUGGGAUCAAGUGGCAUGGGCCCAAACAUCGAAAGGAUAUUCUCUAACGUCCUUUNNNNNNNNNNNNNNNNNNNNNNNNNNNNNNNNNNNNNNNNNNNNNNNNNNNNNNNNNNNNNNNNNNNNNNNNNNNNNNNNNNNNNNNNNNNNNNNNNNNNAGUGAUUUUCUUUCACAACUCUAUAGAUAAGUAUGACGCACACUUCAGUUGGUAAGAAAAAUUCGUAAGUAGAUAGAAACUCUAUCCAGUUUAGAGCUUUGAAUCCAUUAGAAAAAAUCGACCUCAAAUUAACUAAAAUAGAAGCUCAAACUAAGUUAAUCGGAAACUGGGAAAAGCUGCCCAAACGAUGGCCAUUAGACCCCAUCAAACAAACUCCUACAACCUCACAUCUCCUAGAAUUAUCACACAAUCCGAACUGCAGUGAAUUGAAUUAAGCACUAACAUUCGACCAGAGAACCUUAAAAGCUCGUGAACAGUGACUGUCUCUGCACAUUACCAAGCCGCCACAAGCUCAAGCAUCCCAAAAUCUUCCAGAAUCGCACUCAAACACAAGUAUUUCCAUUCCAUCCCGUUCCCCACUAUUCACCAAACAAAAAACAAGACUUGGAAUCAUCACUCCAGUCCAUUCCUUUCCCCAUCAUUUCCCGAUUUCAUUCCAUUCCACCGUACCAAACCCAACGUAAUAGUCAACUAGAAAACCUCAUCUUCCAGAAUGGCACUCAAAACCAAACGGAGACCAAGCAAAAGCGACGCGAUAAAACUAAAGAACGGACCUUAAUGUGAGGCGUGCCUCCGCCGAACUUGCUCCCGGUGUUGUUGUGGAACUCCAACCAAGCGGUCGGAGGAAAAAACGGUGCCGACGAAGGCGGGCAACAGGUCCAGGGGACGGCGAAGGGCGUUGAGGAUGGGCCAGGACAGCUGCUUCGGCAAUAGAUGGAGUAUGUUCUCCAUGGUGGAAUGGUGGUUUCGCGGCUCGAGAGCGCGGGUUGAGCAGAGAGGAGAACGUGAAGAGGAAGAGAAGCAGCAGAAAUUGGCUGACGAGAAGCCAUUGAAAUUGCGAGAGAGAGAGAGUCACCUCUCCAGCGACGGUCCACUUCUUUUUAGUGUCUCGCGCUACACUAUAAAAGGUGUAGGGGUAAGAGGAGCCACUCGUUUUGAUUACAUCCUUGGACGCUUGGUAAUUUAGGGUGCUUAACCAGUUAAAUGAAACAUUAAAGCAUAAUCGGGGCUGAAAAUAUUCUGUAUUCUUAUAUUAUGUAUUAAUGUUGGCAAAAAUCUUAAAUUAUAUCCAUCGUGACAUUAAUGUCUCGAAUUAGUAUUGAUUUCGUGGCGAACAAAAGUUAAGAUUUUUAGAGACAAGCUAGAGGUAUUUCCACUUCAAAUAUAAGUUUUAAGUGUAAAGAAGGGCGAUUAGAAGUCUCCAUGGAGGACCUAACCCUAUGGGAAGAUAUAUUGCUUACCCACCCCCUUGUAGCUUACCGUCAAACUACGGCCAUUGAUAGCUUCAAAUUGGCUUAUAUUGCCUAUCCCUCACCCUCUUAUAUUGCCUCAACAACUUUCACUACACCGCCCUCUCAGGACUUAGUUAACAUCAAGAGUAUCCUUUUAUUUAUAUGUUGUCAGUACGAACUUGACAUUUAGCUUGAUUUCGCAAUAACCAUGCAAUCUUCCUUGUUGCUAAAUUGUGUCUUGAGUUUGAGCCGAAUCCACACCUUAUUGCUCAAAGUCACGCACGAAAUGCAAUGCGCACACAAGUCUUGGACCUUUUUUCUCUACUUCAUUAAUGCUAUGCUUGCACGAAUCUCCUCCUGUGUCCCCUUAUCAUUUUAUCUUCUUUUUUUGGUUCGAAUCCCCUUUUGUCAUUGAAGGAGCUGAACGUCCAUUUUUCGCCCUCACUCCACAGCGCUCCCUAUUUCGGAUUCUCGCUCGAUCAGCGAAAUGAGAAAACUUGGCGCCGAAGUGGACGUCGGAAAUGGCGGUGAUGGCGACGUUCUUGAGGCCUAGCCUCAAUAUUCGAGUGGAAUUGAGAGGGUGCUUCCAUUCCAGACAGUGGUGGAGAACUGUGACGCUCACGGGGUGAUCGAGACCCCGGAGAUUGGAUCCGAGCACAGAGGCACGUGAGUCGUUUUCGCGUUUUCAUGGAACAGGGGUGGACGUUGGUGAUCUGGAUGGGGAAAGGAUGGAGCUUGAGGAGGAUGGUCAGGGACGCGUAUAGAAACGGACUCGACUUAGGGUUCAAGAACGGGUUUACAAAUGGGAUUCAGGUUGCGAAAUGGACCUGCAUCUUUCUAGGAUGGAGAAGUUUUUUCCAGAAAUUGUGAGACGAUUUCGGGAAUUUGAAAGAAACGAGAAGGACCAGAGCACAGGGCAAUUUUAAUUUAUUUUGGCCAAACGUUCGAGCAAUAGUUUCGAAUUACUAAGGAGUAUAUAUAAAUUUCAGCACGGUGACCUCUUUGGUUCAGAUCGGAAAAGUAGUGUGGGGGUGGUGUCUCGCCGCCCUCUAGCGAUACACAAGGGCCUGGCAGUGCAACGUUGUGGGCUUAGUAGGGCUUUUAGGGCUUAUUUGCCGGAUAUUCAUCGAUUUCUGGCCGAAUACAUGGCAACAACCAACGGCGGAGGUUGUUCUCAUGGGACAGCCACAGCCAUGGUCGCCGUCCCCUGAAAUGAUUAAGUUAAACAAUUUGUCAAAUUGCUUAAUUCAACAAUUUCGCACUCAACAGUGUCGACUUCGUAACUCACUUUCUCUGAUGAAAAAUGACCAAUAUCAUGCGUUUAAACCACAGUAGGCAUCGGCUAAGAUCAAAACGUUCAGAUUCAGCCGCAACAAGUCAACGAUGAGGCCCUUGAAAGACUUCUAUCCUUCCAAAGUCUUUUCUUGACUUAGGCAAUUCCAUUUGUUUCUUCACAUACUUGUUCAAGUUUUUGGGUUAGACUGUCAUGUGCUGAUGACUUAAUUAUUGCGUGAUUAUAUUAUUAAACUAAAUAAUUUGAUAGAUUAUGAUUGAUCUUAUUAAGCCAACUGCAUUUGAUAUUUUCACGUUAUUUGGCAUACAAAAUGUCGAUAUAAAUAGUAUAAUUCUAGGGGCUAAAAUUGUAAUUGACUCAAAGGCGAACGCGUAUUUGUGAGUAAUACCGUCAAACUCCUUUUGAGAUUCUCCUUCCAAGGCAUGUUCUCCUACUUAGAUAACUCGAUCAGUUUCCUCUUUUUUUCAAUAAUAUAAUUUAAUUUCCCUUUAUUAAUUUUCUCUAUUUAAAUCUAGUGUAUUUCUCUACUAGUGUUUUCGCUCCUGGUGAAAUAAGGGGAUUAAAUUUAUUUGGUCGGUUAACUAUCAACGUCAAUUAAGAUUUAAUUUCUUUCUAUCUCUUUUUGUAAAUAUUUAUACACAAAAUUCUUAUUGUGUAUUUUUGUCAAUAAAUUAUUUUCAUGAUUUAAUAAUUCAUAUAUUUUACCAAAAAAAUUAUUUAAAUUAAUUUUUUAAAUACCAAUUGUUCCCACACACAUAAUGCAUAGCGGGUGAUAAAUAAAAAGCAGAAGAUCCUCAUAGGAGAAAAGGAGCCCGCGUAUAGCACGAUUUCAUUCUCUAGAAUUAAUUAUUUUCUUAAGAAGGUAUUUCACAAUUUCCAAGUUGUCUUUGAAUUAAUCGAGUCUUUCUUAAAUAUCAAUCUACAUAUUGGCUUUCUAAUUGUUGAAUGGGUUUAGUACCCAUGGAUAAUAAGUAAUGCUACAAAGACCUUAGAAGACAAAAAGGAUUUUCACCCUAUAUGAUGUCAUGUGUUCUCAUCGCCCUAAGAACAUAUGUUAGCUUGUCAUACUAUCUAAUGGGCUAGGAUGCAAAAGUCACAAUAUAGCCGUAUGUAGUAUGGCCAUUAAAAAUGCAGAAUAAACAUGGUUUCUUUUUAUUAUUAUUUUUUUUUUACGAAUAAAGUGAUUCAUUUAUUCAAAAGCAUAUUGGAAAUAUAUGACAUGAAUGAUUUAAAAAGUAAAGAAAAAGAAAUUCCUUGAAAUUUUGUAAAGUCGGAGGUGCUGCUCAAAUCGAGGAGUGCGGGUGGUCCCAGCAAAGUGACGUUAAUGUACAAGAAACAAAAGGUAGGAAAAGUAAUAAGAGCAACGUGCAGAAACGACGACGGCUUGGCGUGGAACGAGCAUGGCUUUAAGCAAACACAGAAGCGGCGCAUCUCUCGAUAUUUUGAUGUCGCCUAUUCUUCCUCUUCUUCUUCUUUUUUUUAAACUGAUAAGGCUGCUCCGGAGCCUCUCUUCAUUUUCGUUUUUUUUGUUUGUUUUUUCCUCCUCAUUUUUCCAACCACAUCCUCACCAUAACGCGCCUUCUCUCUUUUGUCCCCUAGCUCUCCCCACUUUCUUUCGCCCGACUCUCUCUUCUUGUCUUGCUUUCUUUUUUGGGUUCCCCGCCCAAACCCUUAAUGAAAGAUUAAUUGCUGUUUAGUAUUUGUUGACGCCUCAAAUUUUAAUUAAGUUUAUUUUAUCUUAUUAAUUAAUUUUUUAUUUUAUUUAUCUUGUCUUUUUUCGAAAUAAAAACAGCAAAGCAAAGCAAAGCAAAAGAAAAAAAAAAGAAAAAAAAAAAAGAGCAGCCUUUGUAUGGGCCCUCGGCCCAUUUCGUCUCAGCCCAGCCCCCCCCACUUCUUCUUCUUCCUCGCGCAGUUGCAGUGCACAAGCAGAGGGCGCGACGCCGGAGCGGAGGGGAGGAGCAACAAUGGCGCACGUGGAGCAGGGGGCGGCUGGCGUCGGAUAAGAACGUGGGAGGGGCAGCUGGCGUCGGAUGGGACGCCGGUUCGGCCGGCGGAGGCCGCUUGGCGCACGGGGACCGGCGGUCGAAGCUCCGUCGACCGGCUGCUCCCUCGCCUAUAAAUAGGCCCCCGUUUCCGUUGUCGAAGGGGCACGCCAGAAGAUCGCAAGCUUGGAAACUUCUUCCUGAGAGACUUCGGAGGAGGUUGAAGGGCGAGCGAGAGAGAACUCGGGUCGCGAGUUCGGCUGACCUCCCACUGAGAGACUUCGGGGGAGGCUGCCGGCGAGCGAGUCCGAGGUGGUCAGAUCCGGCCGGUGGAGGCUCGGAUCUGGCCGGAAGAGAGAGAGGCCUGCGAGCUCCGAGAGAUCCCCUGAGAGACUUCGGGGAACUCAAAGAGCGAGCAACGACCUCCCUCCGAGAGACUUCGGGGGAGGCCGGCGGCGAGCGAACCCGGAUCUGCGAGAACUCGAGAGCGGAGAGAGGAGAGAGAUCGAAGCCGCGAGCAUUCAAGCUUCCCCCGAGAGACUUCAGGGGAGGCUCGACGCUCGCGAGCCCAGAUCAAAGGGAGGGAGCAGAGUUCGGGCACCCUCCGCCGUCGUAGCCGCCGCCGUCGCCACCGUUCGCCGUUCAAGCUGCCGUUCACGGACAGGUAGUGCUACCGCCGCCGCCGCCGUCGCCGUCGCCGUCGCCGUCGCCAUAGCCUCCCCCCCCUCUCCACAGUUCAACCGCCGUCGCCGCCGUCACCGUCGUCCCCGCGGUUGUGCCUCGGCCCUCUCCCCCCUCGGCGCCGCGGAUUCGCAAACCCUAGAUUUCCGGGUCACGAAGCGGAUCCGGGUUUGGAAAGCGGGUAGGGUUUUCGCGAUUUAAGGGGCGGCGGAAACCGGGUCGGGAGUUGGGUCGGACCCGGGUAGGGUUUCGCUAGGAACCCGGGUCGUCGGGCCGGGCCGGGCGUCCCCAAACGCCCGACCACGGCGUCGUUUAAAAAAAAAAAAACGAUGAAAAAUCUGACUCGGGCCCGCGUUUGGGUCGCCGACCCGGGUCGGACCCAACCCGCGGAUCCGACCCGGGUCGGUUUUAUUUUGUUAUUUUAAUAUAAAAUAAUAAAUAUUUUAUUUUCAAAAAAAAAAUCAAAAAAUGUUUUAUUUUCAAAAAAUAUUUAAAAAUGUUUUAAUUUCCAGAAAAUCAAAAAUAUUUAAAAAAUAUUUAAAAAAUGUCGAAAAAUGUUUUAUUUUCUAAAAAAUCGUGAAAAAUCAAAAAUAAUUUAUUUUCCAAAAUAUUUUGAAAAAUAAUAAAAAAUAUUUUAUUUUCCAAAAAAGAAAAUUAAAAAUAUGCCAAAAAUCCAAAAAAAACCAAAAAUUCAUGAAAAAACAAAAAAAAAAAUUCAGAAAAGCCAAAAAGACAUGUGUUUUUCAAAAAAAAAAACCCAAAAAAUCCCUUUUGCGUCCAAAAAUAAAAAAAUGACUCAAAAAAUGUUUUUCCUCCAAAAAAUGCAUGGAAAAUCUCUCAAACAUCCAAAAAAGCCUUAGAAUCCUUAGGGUUUAAACAAAGAUUAAGUACCGAAAGGGCAUUAGUGAUUAACUAAUGUAAUCAAGUCCCCGAUCCUAAUUUCUCUAGUUACGCAGGAGCGAGUAUUUCUCCCGAUACUUCGCUUGGGUUUUUAAUCGACCCACUCCAAAUCGAUUAGUGGCGACUUCAUUUUAAAAAUUGAUUUAUAGGUUAAAAACUCAAACUAUUAAAGUCGUGAAUUGAUGAACUUGGGAGAGUAUGGGCAUAAUUAAAAUUAGCCGAGCCAUUAGCCUUCUUUUUUUGGUUCCCCGCCCAAACCCUUAAUGAAGAUUAAUUGCUGUUUAGUAUUCCAAAGUCCAGCGUUAUCGGGCCCCAUCAUCGACCUAUCAAGUUCGCUAAACUCAGUCAUCAAUGGACUGACUAUUUUUGUUUGAACACGAGCUGCACCAACAUGACAAGAAAAAGGAAAAUAAAAACUUAGGCAAGGGCUCAUUGAUUUCUAACACUUGAUCAUACAAAUUUUUGAAAAGAAAUUUUAAUAUCAUUGCUUUGAGGAUGGACGCACUCUCAACAAGUGAACUCGCGUGAUCAAAUUCAGUAAUACGACAGAAUCAUCUCAAAGAUUUAAGUUUAAUAGUUAUUUUAUACGGCGAUCAUCAUAGGAAUGUGGCAAUUUCGAGCGCCUGCAAUGCGAUGUCUUGAUGUAUCAUAGGAAUGUUAUCUAGAUAUACAAACGGCAAAGGAGCAACAACAUAUCGGCAAUGACUUGGGUAGUAAUGAUGCAUCUAUGAGGCCUAUCCUUAUUCGAUUUUUUUUCUAUUUGUUUUUGUUCAUGUUUUCUUUCUCAAACCACUCUAAUAUGAAUUAAAUAGUAGAUAUCUUAAUAUAAAAUCAACAAUAGAAUUCUCCGUUUCGUUUUGGAACUCAUCGAAUGAGACUUUUUCUCUAAUUUUUUUACUAAUCCAUUUAGAUUACAUUUUAUAUUAUCACUAAAGUUUUAUUGUAAUUUAACUUGUUGUUAUAUCAUCCAUAGAAUAAUCAUAUUAUCGAUAUUGUAGAAAACAGAUAAAUAAAAUCAAACAAAAUCGAAAUGCUCAUUAGACCAUAGAAUAAUCAUAUUAUCGAUAUUGUAGAAAACAGAAAUUUUAAUGAUUUUUAACUACUAACUAAAAUAUGUAAUGUGUUUCUAGCUAGUAUCUCGUUCUGUUUUCUUCUCACCCCCUAGCUCUAUCCGCAAUGAUCGAGCCGUGAUCAUGUGAAUGCUUGACUAAAGCCUCCCUUCAGCCGCGUUUUUUCCUGCUUUUUAUGUCCCUACUUUUUUCAGUAAAUCUUUGCCCAAGAUAUGGUCCAUUAUGAGGGGGUGCUGGUUUUUCUAUGUCGCGUCCGCUUCUGAACCACCUUUUUGAACCAGAAUUCCACGAUUUCUGGCCUCCCUUUCCCUGUUUCUGUUCCUUCGUGCGUUUUCACGCUGCUAAUUUCCUUCAUUCACACCCCGCGGGAAUGCCGUGUGGAAACUGGAAAGUAGCCUCCAGUCGACCAUUUCGGUCAGCCAGAAGGAGGGAGCGGAGAGGACUUUUAUUUGGAGAGCAGGCUGCGUCCAAAACUUCCAUAAGAAUUAUCAUUUAAAUUCACUGCGGAAAAUUUAGGGUUAGAUCGUGUAAGGUUGGUUCAUAAGAAUUCACAAUCAGGAAUGCAAUGGAGAGAGAGAGAGAGAGAGAGAUUUAUGGGAUUAUGAAUGUAUUUUUAUUAGGAGUCAAAUUAUCAGUGAAUUUGAUCGUUAAAUUUCAUUAAAAUGCGAAUGAGACCUUUAAACGGAAAUUUAUGUAUCAACAAUAAUUAAUCUUACAAAUUAGUAAGUAAUUGUUUCUCGUUAAAUCAUCCCUUAGUUGAAUUUUUUUUUCUUUUUAGUCUAAAGAUCUAAAUUGCAUACAAAAUUGGUCUUGUGAAUUCAUUAGUAUAGGUAAUAUUCUAAAUUUGAGUCAAUAUUUAUGCAAAGUAAAUAAGCAGCAGUACUCACGAAGAUUUUCCUAUUGAUUUCUAGAGGCAAAAAAGAGCAAUGCUAUGCAUAAGAGAACUGGAUAUUUAUAUAUAUUAAGAUGGAUAGAAAAUGAUAAGGAAAAUAGUGCGGUAGCUCUCUUAAGAAAAUUUUGUUUUUAAUUUUUCAUUUUCCUUGGAAAGUCUAGAGAAUUUGGCAAUUAAGUAAACCAUAGUUUAACAUUCCAUAAUAAUUUUCCACCUCAUUCGGUGCACUAAUUUUUUUAUAUAUUUACAUAUUUAGCACCAUUUCGGGCAAGACAAAGAAAGAUAAGUAGGCUCAAAAGUUUAUCGGGUGCACGUUCGCAUGAGUUUCCUCGUGGUUAAAGCUGAAAUUGGCUCAAAGGCGAACGCGUGUUCUUGAGUAACACUGUCCCACUCCCUUUGAUGACGAUGACAUCAGAGACAAUUACCCGACACUAUUGAAAAGAGAGAGAGAGAGAGAGAGGGGGGGAAGAGGUCUUAUCGUGGCUUCCAAAAGAGGCCACUUGAAAUCUCUUAAAAAAAGUGAAAGUUAUGCGAGGUGGAGUAUAAAUAGACAAAUUGCUCAUUAUUUUUGUUAAUAGAUUAUUGUCUAGAAAUGAAAAAGAAAAAAAAAAGAUGUAAAUAGUGAAGCAAUGAGGCAGCAAUAAAAUAGGAAACUUGUCAACCCCCAUGCAUUAUAUUAAAUUAAAAUAUUAUUAAGUCCAUUGUCGGUCUAGAAAAUAAUUUGCACAUUCCCGAUUAAGAGUUGACACGUGAAAUAAUUCACUGGCAAAAGCAACUUCAAACACAUAUGUCACUCAUUCACGAUAAAUGUGUAUUGAGGUUUUAACAUUGAUUAUGCUUCCAACAAUAAUCCAUUAAAUUACUAGGUUUUUCGGCUAACAAUUUUUCUAUAUUUAGUUUAAAAUAUUAAAAUAAUAAGACCAAACAGAUAAUAUAUUCGGAUGUUCAAAAUUUUUACCCAUGGGUUAAUUAGGAAUGCCAACUAUUUAAUAAAAUAUUCAAAAUAUUAUUAUUUCAUAGUAUCUAGAGAAUGAAAAUAAAUAAAUAAAAAAAGUCAAAGUCAUGCGAGGGUGAAAUAAAAGCAAUCAAAUCAUUAAAGAGAGAAAAAUCAUUUUUAUUUAUUAUAGUAAUAGGUUAUAGUGUAGAAUGAAAACGAAAAAAAUAUAAAUAAAAGAAAGGGUAAAAGCAUGCGACGACACCUAUCUAAUGUGCCAUUGCUCCAGGAGGCCUCCACGUAGCACCCGAGUUGUCUAUUCCACCGUCCAUCUCGCCGACACGACGGACGGGAAAAAAACCCACGCCGGACCCCCCCCCCCCACCCCCGAAACGGCACAUGUUGGUGUCAGCGGGAGCGUCGGACCGGGCCCCGCCCCGGUUCACGAGGAUCGCCACCGAUGACGUGGACAUGUCGAGAAGGGGGGCAGGAUCAAAGCAACGGACGGCUUGGAGGUGUGGUCGUUCGGCUUGUCGUACGCCUGGCCAUGUGAUCACAUGAAUCGGGCGUACUACGGUCAGGGGGAACAAGGGGAGAGGGUGGGGCCCGUUGGGCCGGGGAAUGUAGUUAGGCCAUGAUGAUGGACGGCUGGAUGGACGCGUGGUCGUUCGGCUUGUCGUACGCUUGGCCAUGCCAUAAGUCGGGGAUUUCUCGGGGUACGGUCAGGGGGAACAAGGGGAGUGUGAAUGUGAAAAUCGAUCCCCAAUGAACACAAUCAACGCCUCCUGACCCAGCAUCUAGGGGGGAGAAGGUUGUCAUUGGUGAUUAGGCCUUGUAAAUUGGUAUUUUCAUGGUUUGAUUUUAAUUUGAUAAAUUUACCUAUACAAAAGUGCUAAAAUAAUCUAAGCGGGGAGAUCAACCAUAGUCCAACAGAGACCAAUAUUAGUUUGACGUGAUAUUGCUAUGGUUGUUACGUUUGUUGUCCGACAAUGAUAUAACGUGCGAUUAUGUUUGUGACUACGGACUUCUGUAUUGAGUUGUGAUUUACGUGCUUUUUCUAGCGGUAAAAUAUAACAUAUUUGUAACUUUUAACAAGGUCGCUAAUUCUGUUAAAAAAAAAACAGGGUCGUUGAUUAGAAUUCGAUACUUUGACCAAGUCCAAGUCUCUCCCUUUCUCUCACACAUAGAAACAUGAUGAAAUGAUAAACGACGGAGACGUUUCUUGCGCGUGUUCUAAGCAAGUGUGCUGUUUUCUCUUAUGGCAGAGUCCCUCUCGAUUCUUCACCAAAACCUGUUCAUUCCCAUUUCCAGCAGCAGUUGAAUGCCCUUGUUCCUCUAGGAAUUGGGUUUCCGCCUUUGAAAGAAGAUGAGAAAGAAGUAGUCGAGAGAAGAGGAGAAGAGAAUUUUCUUUGUAUUAUGUAUAUCAUUCAAUGUACAAUGUCUACUAUGUUUAUAAUACAAAAUGUGUAUAAGAAAAGCAAGUAAAUAUUUUACAAUUUGGAUCCGAUUAGAUCCGAUACUAAAUGAUCGUGAUUGAUCUUGAAUGAUGUUGUGAAUCUUCAUGUGUAUCUUCUAACAAUCCCACUCAAGUUGAUGGCUUGUAAAUAUCCGAGAUGCCUAGCUUGCUUAGAAGAUACGCGUGCUGGCUUUGACACAAGGGUUUAGCGAAGACGUCCGCUGGUUGCUCUUCUGUUCGGAUCCCCAGUGUCUCGAUUAUCCCUUGUUGGAUCUUUUCUCGUGCAAAAUGGCAGUCCACCUCUAUGUGUUUCGUUCUUUCAUGAACUAUUAGGUUUGAGGCAAGUUUGAGGGCCGCAUCAUUAUCCCAAAACAAUUUGGUUGGCCCUUCAACUUGUACCCCAAGAUCUCGAAGAAAUCCACGUAGCCACACUACCUCACAUGUGGUCUUUGCCAUGGCUCGAUAUUCCGCUUUUGCUGAGGAUAAUGAAACAGUCGGUUGCUUCUUUAUCUUCCAUGAAAGUAAAGAAUCCCCUAACUUGAUACAGAAACUUGUUAUGGACCUUCUGCUCAUCGAACAUGUCGCAUAAUCUGCAUCACAAUAUGCAGUCAUCCUCAUAUCACAUUUCUUGGAGAGGAGAAUCCCAAGACCUGGACAUUUCUUCAAAUAUUUUACCACUUUGAGUGUUGCAUUCAUGUGGGACUGCUUUUGAUUGUGCAUGAACGACUAGGAGUUUGCACAGCAUAACUGAUAUCCGGCCUGGUUAUAGUUAAAUAUAUGAGUUUCCUAACAAGUUUCUGAUAAGUCAUUGGAUCCUCAAUGUAGGAUCGGGUUCUUAAGAGAUUCCAGUAUCAUACUCUGCUGUGGUCAAUUUGAUAUUUUGCUUGAUUGGAAUUACAACCGGCUUACAUCCUGACAGUCCGACUUCUGAUAUGAUUUCUAAGGCAAAUUUUCUCUGGUUGAGAGAUAUUCCUUGGUCUUAACUAACUGGACAAGCAGCUUACUGCUCUUUGAAGGGAAGUCUAAACUGGAUGGCUGCAGAGGUACUCUGAUUUUGUGAAUGUUAAUGCUACAUUCCUUUUUUUUAACAUGGUGGAAUGAUGUAGUCUAUCCUGCGGCUCAUACAAUCCUUGAUGGCAUAUGAUUACAGCACAGAUCUCAAUCGUACUGCUAACAUCUGAAGUUUGGGAAGUACUAUUUACAGGAAACCUCCUUGGAGCGAGUAUGAGCGGGNNNNNNNNNNNNNNNNNNNNNNNNNNNNNNNNNNNNNNNNNNNNNNNNNNNNNNNNNNNNNNNNNNNNNNNNNNNNNNNNNNNNNNNNNNNNNNNNNNNNUUUUCUCUGUUUGUCCUUCCAAGUAAUAUGCUUCUAACCAAAUAUGUGUCACCGUUUUCUGUUGGAAGUUCGGGACUGUGCAUAUUACCAUUUGUUAUGUGAUAUGUGUCUUUAUUUUCUAUUUAAGGUUUAAUCAUUAAUGUAGGGUCAAGCUAUAUUUAAGGUGAUGCAAAGUUCUCCACCAAUACCUAAGACGUUAUCUGCUGAGGGAAAGGAUUUCCUGCAGUGCUGCUUUUGAAGAGAGCCUGCCGAGAGGCCUUCAGUUGUUAUGCUACUUGAGCAUGCUUUCUUGCAAAUUUGAAGUGAUGACUGACUUAUUUCGAGUGCCAUACCUUGUUGCAAAAGUGAUGUCGUACUAUAAAGUUCCAGAUUUGCUAAACCAAAAGUAUCAUGAGGUCCAUAGGUGUGAUGAAGUACUUGUCUAUCGACAAAAUUAAAUGCAUGUCUGAGAGGUGGCAUACUUUGAUCUAGGAAAUUUGACAGUAUUGCCUAAUCUAAGCGGAGAUCUAGGCAAUUUGAAAGUCUUGCCUAAUCUAAACAUUUUACUAUGGAGUGCAUUCUUAUCAUAGACAUUUUGUCUAUUACUUUAAUUUCAUCAAAAUUGAAUGGUAUUGAUAUGGCUCCAAGUAAGCAACAAAUCGGCAAAACACAAGCAAGAAACCCAGAAAAGAAAAAGGAGAAAGAAAAUCCAAGUGAUGAUGCAUCAGAAUCCCUGAAAUAAUUUUGGAAGCAAGUACUCCGUCGAUUUGGUUGGGGGAACAUUGGCAGGUUUGGCAAACCUGCAGUAUCUUAGGAUUGGGGAAGUGAAGAGAAGAGUAGCAAAGUUAUGGGCAUCGGAGGCUCUUGAUUCUUCCUUUAAGAAUGUCGAUCUCAACAAAUACAUGAGAUUUCUCCAACUAGAGUGGCUCUCAUCUCCAUCACCAAAUUCCGGAGAGUUAAGAAAAGCCAUUGGGUGUCUGUGGAUGUAAAUGAUGAUGAUUCAAGAUUUGUGACUUCCGAAAGGAGAAUUGACGUUGAUUGUUGCAAAUAGCUCGUGACUUGUGUCUAUAUUUCAUCUUGUGUCUAUGAAAUGCAAAUAGCCCAUGAAUUUUGUUUAAAAUAUCUCACGUCGUUCAUUUACGAGAUUUUAAUGGGCCUAAUAUUUAUUUAAUUUCCCUUCAACUAUUUGUUCAAAUUUUUGGGUUGGACUUCCUCAUGCGUGCGUGAUGGCGUUAUUGCACGAGUAUAUUGCGUUAUCUACUCAUCACCAAUACAUCGCAAGAUUCAUCGUGACAGGAGCUUUUGCUCAUGGGGCUAUGAAAAAGUUAAGUGCUAAAAAAUAUCAACUCUAUAUUUUUGAUGAUAUACUAAACAAUUUGAAAGACUAUGAUUGGCCUUAGUAAGUAAGUCACAUUUUACAUUUUCACGUUAUUUGGCACACAAAAUGUCGAUAUAAUUAGUAUUAAUUCAGGGGCCGUAAUUGUAAUUGGCUCAAAGGUGAGUGCAUCUUCAUGAGUAAUACCGGCAAACUCCUUUUGAGAUUAUCCUUCCUAGGGCAUGUUCUCCUACUUAGAUAACCUGAUAAUUUUCCUCUUUUUUCGAAUAGUAUAAUUUAAUUUCCCUUUAUUAAUUUCCUCUCUCUAGAUUAGUGCAUCUCUCUACUCGUGCGUUCGUUCCUGGUGAAAUAAGGGGAUUAAAUUAAUUUUGUCGGCUAACUGUCAACAUCAAUUAAGCUUUCUCUCUCUCUCUUCAUAAAUACUAAUACACACAUCUCUUACUGUGUAUUUUUAUCAAUAAUUUCUUUUCAUUAUUUAAUAAUUCAAAUAUUUUAUAAACAAAGACUUGAAUUAAAAUUUGUAAAAAUUUGUAAAUACCAAAUGUUCCCACACGCAUAACGUGUGUAUCGGGUGAUAAUAAAAAGAGGAAGAUCCCCAUUGGAGAAAAGAGGUCCAGAUAUAUUAAUACGGUUUCAUUCUCUAGGAUCAAUUAUUUUCUUGGGAAGGUAGUUCGCGAUUUUCGAAUUGUCUUUGAGUUGACCGGGUCUUAAGCGACUUUUUUUUCUUAUGACUCUCGCCUGCAUUUGGACUCUUAUCUCCAUUUUCGUUUUCUUUUGUUCUUUUACCAAACCCUAACCAUAAUGCUCCUUUUCUUUUUUGUCCCUUUGUUCUCGCCCUUUUCUUUCGUACAACUCGCUCUUCUUUUCCAGCUGUUCUUUUUUUCUUUUCUUUUUUUCGGUUCUCUGCCCAAACCCUUAAUGAAGACUAAUUGGUGUACGAUGAUAUUGAGCGCCAUCGUCGACCGAUCAAGUUCGCUAAACUCAAGUCAUCAACGGACUGACUAUCCUUGUUUGAACAGGAGCUUCCACCAGCGUGGCAGGAAAAUGAAAGCAAAAACUCAAGCAAGAACUCAUUGAUUUUCUAAGAUUUGGUCAUAAGUAUCGAUGAAAAGAAACUUUAAUACUGCUGCUCCGAGAAUGGAAGCACUCCCAACAAGAAAACCCAAGUGAUCGAAUUCAAUUCACGGCGGAUGAUGCGAGUUUAACAGUCAUUCUCUACGACAAUCACAAUAGCGAUGCAGUAAUUUUGAACUCCCCAGUGAGAUGUCUCUUGAUGCGGCAGAGGAAUCCGAUCUAUUACUUUUUUAUAUCAUCACUAAAAUUUUGUUACAUAAUUUAAUUUACAAUUGUAUCAUCUACAUGAAAAUUUGAAAUACGAUCUAACUAAACGGAAUAAAUCGAAUCUCACUAAAUCGAAAUGUUAAACAGAAAAUAGAAUGCCCAGAUGAGAAUCUGACUUGACAGUCUAGAAAAAAACUGGAAUUCUUUCUGAUAAAUCUUUAAGUUCUAACUAAAACAUGUACUGUGUUUCUAGCUGAUGUCUACUUCUGUUUUCCUUUCUUGCCGACUAGCUCUAUACGUAAGGACCGGGUCGUGAUGGUGUGAAUGCUUCGCCGGGGAGUCUCGACUAAAAGCAGCCUCCCUCCGACCGGGAUUCUCCUGCUUUUCACCUUUUGCUUUUCACACUAAAUCUUUGCUGAAGAUAUGGUCAUUCAUCGUGAGGGUGUGCUGCAAUUUCUCCGCUGCCGUGUCCUUCUUGACCACGCUCUUCUCCUCAUCAGAGCAAUCUCCACCGAAGCCCACCGACAGUUCCACUUGCGCUCUUCUUUUAUUUCAAGUCUUUUUCAACUUUCUCUGCUUUCGGUUCCGCAUGGCCCGACCAUGUCCCCUCGUCCUUGUCUCGGUGUUCAGUUAGUCGACACGUUUCCACCGUAUCGUGUCUCACGAGAAUUUGCUCUCCAUUUUUGCAGAAUUUCAGCUCUUCCCUUUCUGUUCCUUUUUUGUGUUUUCACACUUCUAUUUCCCUUCCUUCGCACUCGCACGAAUGCCGUGUCGAAAGUGAACUCAAGUUGACCAUUUCGGUUCACAAAAAUUCGCAAUUUUAUUGGAAACGGUCUGUAAUUUUAUAUGCGAAAGAAUGCAAUAGAGAUUGAGAAUGCGAGAUUACAAAUGCUUUUUUCUUAAUAAGGGGUCAAAUUAUCAGUGAAUUUGAUUGCUGAAUUUCAUGAGAAUGCGGAUAGGACCUUUAGGUGAAAAUCAGUGUCAACAAUAAUUUUCCUCAUAAGUUAGUAAGUUGUUAUUUUCUCUUUAAAUCAUCCCUUCAUUGAUUUUUUUUUUCUUUUUGUCUAAAGAUCCAAACUGGAUGCGAAAUUGAUCUCGUAAAUUAAUUAGUGUAUGUAAAAAAAGAAAAGAAAAGAAAAGAAGAAGAUGAUGUUUUUAUAAUAACUAUAAUAAAUUUGCAUGGAGCACUCCUAUUUUAAUCAAGCUUGCUUUGUUUGAUUAAACUAAACCAGGGUCAUCAAGAAAAACAGCUCUAGUGCGAACGUCCCGAUCGGCUGGAUUCAAUGUUGAUUUAUUUAAAGUAAAGCGAGUUUAAUGUCGCCGUCGCGAUCGUGACCAACUUCGAUUGUGCGCCUUUUCUCUUUUGUCCCCUAGCUCUCCCACUUUUCUUAUGCCCAACUCUCUCUUCCUUUGUUGCUUUCUUUUUCGUUCUGCGCAAACCCUUAGUGAAGACUAAUUGGUGUUUAGUUUUCCAAAGCGGGGCAUUAUGGAGCACCAUCAUUGACCCAUCAGGUUCGCUAAGCUCAGUCAUCAAUUAACUAACUAUUCUUGAUUUGAUUGAACAGAAGCUGCACCAACGUGGCAGGAAAAAGAUAAAAUCAGGCGAGAACACAUUAAUUUUCUAAGACUUGGUCAUAAGUAUUGAUGAAAAGAAACUUUAGUACCGCUGCCCUGAAAAUAGAAGCACUCCCAACGAGUGAAUCCGAGUGACAAUUCAAUUAUUUGACGAAAUCAACUCAAUGACGUAAGUUCAAUAGUUACUCUUUACGGUAAUUACGAUAGUCAUGCUACAAUUUUGAGCAUUGCAAUGAGAUGUUUCAUGAUGUAACAAAAGAAGCCAAUUUAGUCGUGCAAAGAGGUGGCAUUACGACCACAACAUCAGCAAUGAUUGGGGCAGCAAUGACACAUCAAUGAGGCCUAAUCUUAGUGGACUUUUUUUUUUCCCUUUUUACGGAUAAAAUAUGAAUUAGAUAAUUGAUCUCUUAAUAAUAAAUAGAUAAUAGGAAAUAUGAUUCUCCAAUUUCUUUUUGAAUUCACCAUAUGGCAUUUUUUUUGCUAUUUUUUUCAUUUACUAAUUCAAUUCUAUUACUUUUUUAUAUAGUCACAUAAGUUUUAUUACAUAAUUUAUUUUACCAUUGUAUCAUUUACAUGGAAAUUCGAAAUACGAUCUAACUAAAUGGAAUAAAUAGAAUCUCGCUAAAUCGAAAUGUUAAACAGAAAAUGGAAUGGCCAGAUUAGAAUCUGACUUGACAUUCUAGAAAAUACAGGAAUUCAUUCUAAUAAUCUUUAACUAGUAACUGAAACAUGUAGUGUGUUUCUAGCUGAUAUCUCGUUCUGUUUUCCUUUCUGUUCCACUAGCUCUACACGCCACGGCCGGGUCGUGACGGUGUGAAUGCUUAGUCGGAGUCUCGACUAAAAGCCUUCCUUCGGCCGGGAUUCUCCUGCUUUUCACACUGGAUCGUUGCUGGAGAUACGGUCAUUCGUCAUGAGGGAGUGCUGCAAUUUCUCCACUACUGUGUCCUUUUCGACCCCAUUAUUGCCCUCAUCAAAGCAAUCCACCGAAGCCCGCCGAAAGUUCCACUUGCGCUCUUCAUUUAUUUUGCGUCUUUUUCGACUUUCUCUGCUUUCGGUUACGCAUGGCUCGACCAUGUCCCCUCGUCCUCAUCUUCGCGUUCAGUUAGUCAACACGUUUCCACCGUAUCGGGUCCCACCAGAAUUUGCUCUCCAUUUUUGCAGAAUUUCAGCUUUCUCUUUCUGUUCCUUCGUGUGUUUUCACACUGCUAUUUCCCUUCCUUCGCACGCGCAGAAAUGCCGUGUUGAAAGUGGCCUCGAGUCGACCAUCUCGGUGAACCGGAAGUAGGGAGCGGGAAGGACCUAGAAUUCCCGUUUAAAUUUACCUCGAAAAUUUCAGGGCUGGGUCGUGUAACAGGUCGGUUCGCAAGAAUUCACAAUGAAAGUUUUCACAAUUUUAAAUGCGAAGGAAUGUAAUAGGGAUCAAGAAUGCGGGAUUACAAAUGUAUUUCUUUUUAUAGGAGAUCAAGGUAUCACUGAAUUUGAUUGCUGAAUCUCAUCAGAAUGUGGAUAAGACCUUUCCGCGAAAAUCUAAAUGUCAACGGUAAUUUUCCUCAAAAGUUAGUAAGUUAUUAUUUCCCUUUAAAUCAUCCCUUCGUUGAAAUUAUUUUCUUUUUAUCUAAAGAUCCAAACUAUAUAUACCAGACUUAUCUCGUAAAUUAAUUAGUGCAUGUAAAAUUCCAAGUUUGAUUUUAGAUUUAUGCGAUGUAAAUAAGCAGCACUACUCCCAAGGUUUUCCUAAUUAAUGUAAUGCAAAUCAUUUCUAGAGGAAUAAAAGAGCAAAUGCUAGACAUAAUAAAAUUGAAUAUUAUAUGCGCGCGCCCGCAUAUUUAUAUAUAAAGAUGGAUGGAGUAUGAAGAGGAAAAUAGUGUGGUGGCCUUCUUAGGUAAGUUUUGAUUUUAAUUUUUGAGAGUUCGGCAAAAAAAGUGAAUCACAUUUUAAUGCUCAACAAUACUUUUCCACCUCAUUUGGUACACUGAUUUUUUAAAAUCUUUAUAUAAUUAGUACUAUUUUGCCCCCCACCCAAAAAAAAAAAAAAAAAAAAAACCCAAUAGUAUCUUGGGAGCACUUUCGUGUGAGUUUCCUCACUGCCGAACGCGUUUUCUUGAGCAGGGCCGUCCACUCCUUUUGAUGACAAGACAACAACAUGGGAAACAAUUACCCUACACUACUCUUGACGCUCCUCUGGAUCGAUGCUUAACGUGUAAGGGCUGCUUGUGAUUCUCCUUGCAAAGGUAUGUUCUCCUUCUUUGAUAACCAAUUUUCCUCUUUUUUUUCGAUAAGUAUGAUAUUAAUUUACUCUGUGUAGAUCUAGUGUAUCUCUCUAUUUGUGCUUUUGUUCCCAGUAAAAUAAGGAGAGAGAUCUCUGUACUUCAGGCGUGCACAACUCAGGCGGUUUGGUUCUGUUAGGAGGAUUCUACGGUUUUGCAACGAUUUCAAAUAUACCUGGUCAGCUAGCUUUUAACAUAACUUAAGAAUCCUUUAUUUUUCUAUAUGCAUUAUUUUUUUAAAUUGAUCGUCUGUUUUUAACUGUUCUAUGCUCUUGCUUGGCAUUGUCUCUGUUUUGUAAGAAUCAAAUAAAGAAUCUCCGACUGAGCAUCCUUAUUUAACUGGAUUACUUCUUGUAGGAUAUUGGUAGCGGCAAUGCCUAGAGAAAAGGAUCCAUUUUGGAAGUACGCGACGUUGCUGAAUGAAAAUAAUAGCAAGUGGAGGUGUAACUUGUGCGGACAGAAUUAUAGUGGACGUGCUACAAGGAUCAAGGCUCACUUGGCUGGAUUGACCCGCUUUGGUAUUAAAGGAUGCGAGAGAGUCGAUGCUAAUGUUAGAGCAGAAGCCAAGGACGCACUUGAGCCUAAAAAAGUGACGGACUCGAGCGACCAAGGUGUAUCUGACGAGAGGAUACCAGGAAAUGUUAAAGCAGCUCCGACCAGCACAACUCAUCCACCAAAUGCGGAGGGAGGAAACAAUUUACAACUUCCACAAGGUAUGCAUUUCCAAAUUACCGCAGAAAAUGGCUGUUUAGUAAAGUGAAUUUUUUUGAUCUAAUCUUAAAUAUGGUUUGAGGUUUGCUUUAGUCUUUUAGGGUCUGCAUGACAAACUUCCCCAGCCCAAGAAUUUCUAUUCUUCUCUUCCCCAGAACCAAAAAAGAAUAGAAACCCGCAUGAUAAUGGCAAGUUAAUUUUUUGUUCCCGGGAACAAAAUGUUAGCCCGGAAAUGGUUUUGGAAUAGAAAUGAGAAGUAAAAAAAAGUUGCUUCUUGUUCCCGGGAACAAGUUUAAGAAAUAAGUUAAUUUUUUUUUCUUUUAUUCUUCUAUUGUUGACUGCCAUUGACCGCUGUUGACCGUUGCCGCCGCCGCCGGUCGCCUCCGCCGGUCGCCGCCGGUCGCCGCCGGACGCCGCUGGUCGCCGGAGGCUGAUCGACCUCNNNNNNNNNNNNNNNNNNNNNNNNNNNNNNNNNNNNNNNNNNNNNNNNNNNNNNNNNNNNNNNNNNNNNNNNNNNNNNNNNNNNNNNNNNNNNNNNNNNNUGUUUUUUACCAAACGCGAUUCAAACGCAUUUCUAUUCUUUUUCUAUUUCUAGAUGUGUAGUUAUCAAACGGGUUUUUUUACAUAGAAAUUGUUCCCCAGAAUAGAAAUAGAAAAGAACUAUUUCUGAAAAGAAAUUGUUCCCCAGCCAAGAAAUGUUCUCAUGCGCACCCUUACUGUCUAAACAUCCAUUUCAAGGCAUGUCAAAGCAAUCAGUUUCCCUGCGCCCUAAAUUUCAAUAUGUUACUGAAGACAGCUAUAUAAAUCCGACUAAUGCUGUUGUAUAUCUCAAUCCAUCACUAGAAAAUGGGCAGGAGAUGAGGGCGGCCAACGUCGCAAACCCCCCAUUCGAUGGUGCAACAAGUUACCAUAGAGCACCUCCCACGCCAAAUUCACCCUUCACUGUUGAAGAUUUUACUUCUUUGAUGGAGUCUCUUGACGCUGAGACAUCAAAUGCACAACAGAAUCCAGGCGCGUUAUUGCUAUCAUCAAACUAUCAGCUCCUUGAUAAUACUUUUCAGAAUGAGUUACAGGGGCCCCUUUUGCCUGGUCCCAUUGCAUCGGAUACUCAACUCAGUAACAUGGCCACAACCAAAACUUCCCAGCAUUCUAGUCAACCACUUCAAAGCGACAGGGAGUGUGGAUACGGCACCGGUCUAGAGCCACCUAUUCCAUCACUACCUUCCACUGGACCUCUUCUUGUCGAGUCAGUUGACCCCCUGCAGAUUCCAGAGGACAUCACAAAUACAAUAGGCCCAUGGACAUCAGAAGGUAUGAAAUUAUCUAUGUAUGUUAAAUGAGUAUCGUUAACUAAGUGCCCAUUCCACUUGUUAAGUAUAUUUGAUAAGAAACUUUAUUUUUAUUUUUAAUGCAUUGAUUAUACAUAAUACAAGAGAGACGGUGCAUUGGGAAUUACAACAUUUCCUUAAUUGGGUUUUUAACAUAAUAACAGUGCAUGGAAUGUGUUGCAAGUGUCACCGGACCAACUGGAUCCGGUAAACUAACUAUAAUCGGCAUUCUCCCAUGUUCCAAUUAACCAUACCCUAUUUUGAUUAAUAACACGCAGGUGAAGGCACAUCAUGUUCAAUGAUGGCUUUAGCGGAAGAAGUACGGUCUCCUUUUAACUUGCCAUGGCAACCACAGUGUUCCAUUCAAUCUCAAAUGCCAAUGAAUUUCCAGCAGAUUCCAGCAGGGGUAUCGUCAUUCCAGUAUAAUCAAUUACCUGCUACAGGUAAUUCACAUUGCUUGCAGGGUAGGAAUCAGCACUCUCAAUUGCAAACUCCAAUGGACAUAGAUGCCUCAAUUGCAUCACGGCAUACAAGUGACUCUCACAUUAUUGAGGCAACAACGGUUGAUUCGCAAGUUCCAGAGGCGGCAACAAAUGCAACAGGCCCAUUGUCAUCACAAGGUGCGUUUGGAUUAAUCUUCAUUGUUACUAUAUGGUUCCACUAGAUUCUUAAAUAUCCCCAAAUUAUUUUAUCGAAAUCUAACAUAUUUUUUUAUAAAUUAGAUAUGAACAGGGGUUCUCCAGUCAUGGACGUACGGAGCAUCUAUGCCAACGAUGAAGAGAUAAGAAACCUGAAAAGAAAAGUGGAAGAACUCGACGACAAAGAAGCUGUCAUAAAGGAGCAGAUGGAGAUAGAGUCUGCUACUUCCUCAGUUCGGAAGAAGCCGAGGAUAUUGGUUGAUAGAUGGCUAAAAGAGACAGAAAGAGCAAGAAAUAAUUUCCAAAUAAUUGGUCAAGCCAAUGCGGAAACUUUGCCACCAAAGGAACAGGUGGAGACAUUGACGAGAGAAGUGGAAGAACUCAUAGGAAAAACGCUUCCACAAACACUACUCAUAGAGGAGAGAGAUGCCAAAGGAGUCAAAUUUUUUGAACGAAAGCUAACAGGUGAAGCGAUUCAUAGGAAUAUUGAGUUGAUUUGGGAUCGUCUGAAGGAGAAUCGUGUAUGCAAAUUGGGUAUUUAUGGAAUGGGUGGUGUUGGGAAGACAACUAUUAUGAUGCACAUACAUAAUAGACUUCUCAAUGAUGCAACCUUCGAUGGUGUGUUUUUUAUCACUGUGUCUCAAGAUUUCAGCAUUAAGAAGCUGCAGAGUGAUAUUUGGAAGGAUCUAAAAUU
This 45500-nucleotide long non-coding RNA is filed under the name Eucalyptus grandis. Its description in RNAcentral is "long non-coding RNA (EGRA_LNC003566)". Lineage: Eukaryota; Viridiplantae; Streptophyta; Magnoliopsida; Myrtales; Myrtaceae. The record is from RNAcentral.